RNAcentral lists this long non-coding RNA (75814 nucleotides) under Setaria viridis. RNAcentral describes it as "long non-coding RNA (SVIR_LNC006199)". Lineage: Eukaryota; Viridiplantae; Streptophyta; Magnoliopsida; Poales; Poaceae. The record is from RNAcentral.
UCUUUUUUUUUUUUUGUUUGGGUUGGGCUUCUGCGGUUAUGAACACGGAAAACUCUAGGGGUCCGAAGAGGCGUAAACGGAGCAAGAAUGCGGAAAAUGGGUCGAAACGGAGGCGUGCAAAUAUAAAGUUGGCUGCCUUGUGCGAUCAAAGCCGUCAACAGGACAGAAUCAGAAUGGACGUAUAUAGAAUUUACACGAAAGAAUGCAUUGUAGCUAAUGAUAUGCUUUCAGAAUUGUUAAAAAACUACCCCUCCGUCCCAAAUUACUAUUCGUUUUGACUUUUCUACAUAUCUAUAUAUUUAGAUGCAUAUUAAAAGGUUUAUAUCUAGAAAAGCAAAAAACGAAUAGUAAUUUGGGACAGAGGGAGUAAAUAAGUUUAUACUACUCCCUGAAUGUAUUGAAGUUGGUUGGCUUAAGAACGUUACAGAAGAAUAAAGGCUCUAAUCAAACACAAGCACGAACAUCCCAAGAGGAAGACAAAAGAAGAUACAUAUGCAAACGCUUGGAUCAUUCUCUUCCAAGACUUCGAAAAAAAAACAGAGACUUGAGAUUAUUGGCACAAAUAAAUCAUUGCAAGUUUGCAAUUGCAACGUAACUCGUGUCAUGCGCACAUAUUCUUGCUUUUUCUCGUGAGGGGGAAGGCACUCAUGUUCAUGUUCAUGUAUUAUUAUCUAUCGUACUAGUGCAGAUCAUCCCUCAAAGAUGGGGAAAGAAAAGAGAGAUCGAGUGCAGAUCGUAUACGGCCGGUGUCUGAUUCGUGAUCACAAACGGUACAAACUUUGUAUCCAAACCGUUGUACAUACGCGUACUACGUAUUUGUGUUGUCAUUGUUGGCUUGUCGGUAGUGUUCAUUGUUCAUUGCAGCGCUCCUUAUUAGCUGAAAUGCAUGCAAGUCUCUUGCAUUGGUUAAAAAUUAAGGGCAACCGAGCGGUCUAGGAGAGGGAUUAUUCAAGCACCCCAUAUACUUUGCGUACGUAUAGUACAUCGCUUUACUGCCGCCUGCGAGCUAUCAAUGUAUUGUUUUUUGUCUCCAACGGCUACACCGUACAUACACGUACACUAGACAGUUCAACAGGUUGCUCUGCAUGAGCCCACAUGGUAGACUUGCUAAGUUACCACUUACCACUAGACCUGCAACUAGUUCAUAAUCCUGAAGAAAAAGCGACGCAACCACUUUGAAUGCGAUUAGGGAUGGCCAGAUAAGAUGGCCUUGGACUAUGUUUUACCCCUUAAACUAUGCUAUUUGGUUCAACUUACACAUAAUGCAAUUUAUUUUUUUAUUUCUCCAUGCACAAGUUCAAAUUUUAAUUUGAGACUCUGUAAGGGUGGCAGUGGACAUCGUAAUCUAUAUUAAAAAUAUUUUAUGAAUUUUUCAUCAUUAGGUUAUAUAUAUUUUUUAUCUUAAAAAUAAAUUUUAUUAUUUAAUAUCCUACCUAUCAAAAUAAUGAUAAAAAUUUAUGAUCUUGCAAAAUUUGAACUUAAGACUCCACCUGUGCAUGGAGAAAUAAAAAAGACAAAUUAUGUUAAGGUGUAAAUGGAACCAAAUAGUAUAAUUUAGGAGGUAAACUAAACCAAAAUAUAGUUUAGGAGGUUAUUGGGCCUUUCGUUAUAUUUGAGGGGAGUAAUUGGGCCUUUCCCCCUUCAAAUAUGAGGAAAGAGAGCAAGUGCAGAUCGUAUACAGUCAGCGUCUAAUUACUCGUGAUCACUUACAAACUCCAUGUCCAAUCCAUUGUAUGUACGUGUACUACAUAUUUGUACCGUGUUGUUAUUGUUGGCCUGCCGGUAGUGUUCGGUGUAUCGUGACAGUGCUCCUUAAACGAAUGCAAGUCUCCUGCGUUGGUUAAAAAUUACGGGCAGCCGGCUUGUCUAGGAGAGGGAUUAUUCAAGCACCCUGUGUACUUGCGGACGUGCAGCACGACGCUUUACUGCCGCCUGCGAGUUAUCAAUAUACUGCCUCUUGUCUCCAACAGGUACCCGUACGUACACGUACCAUACCACUAGACGGCUCAACGCCUUGCUCUGAGCCCGCAUGUAGACUUGCUAAGUUACCAUUUACCACUGGACCUGCAGCUACUUCACGAGAUUAACAGCUAGCAAUCCUGAAGAAAAAGCGACGCAACCACUUUGAAUGCGAUCAGGGACGGCCAGGUAAAGAUCUGGGGUGCGCGAGCGGCUUCCUCUUUACAGGGCAGAGGCGCACGGCCGCUGCCUGCAUGGGACGAAUCCACCUCGGCACCUCGCUUUGCCGGCGUUCGUGCAGCUUCCGUCGCUCUGGUUGGUCUCGGUCCCCUCGUGUGUUUGUGCGCUCGAUCUGCCACCGGUAAACAACUGUGCAUCGUUGGGAGGGCACGGGGGACAACCCCUUUUUUCCUGCAAAUUCCAUGUGCCAUGCUGCCAUCUUUGUUUGCAAGUACUGAAGUACAAACAUGCGUUGCCUCAGUAUUACGAGUGGAUGGCAUUAUGGCAAAUGGCAUGAACACAUGCAGACUCCAAGGCCCAAGCUAAGCUAGAUACGGUCAUGUUCUAAUGCUGAAAACUUGUUUUUGUGCAGCUAAUAUAGAUCCAGUUAUCAUUGCUGUUAUUUUUUGUAUAGCCUUUUUUAUUUUAUCUGUAUGGAAGCCUUGUGUCAAAAAGAGAGCAUCUAGCUAGGCAGCGUGAUUUAUUUAUUUAAUUUAAUCUGCCGAAGAACUCUAACUGACUGACCUCGCGCUAAUAACCAGCCAAGUAUCAUGGUCUGAUCAUUACGGGCAUGUUACGCCGAGAGGCGCAGACGCGACCAGUCGCGUGACCGGAUGAAGCCACGCACUCGCCGACGACCCCACCGCUCAGCGCCGCGGGGAGCCGCUCGUGGUCCCACCUGUCACACUCACGCGCCGUUACAACCUGUCGGUGCGCGUAGCGGAGGUGGAGGCUCCCUCCCUCCUGCAGUCCUGCUGCUACUUCCCACCCGAAAACGAAACCGCAGCUCGCUGCGCCACUCCCUAAUUAAGGCCCCACUAAUUAAACCCUGCCUUCCCCGCUCACGCUCUCCUACUACCGACAUGUGGGGAUCCUGAUACAUUGGACCCACACGUCAUGGGGUGUGGCUGGGUCUGCAAGGUGUGGCUGAUCCCCGCCGCAGAAGGUGUCAGUGUGGUCAGCAGCUUUAAAAUGAACCCAGCCUCAGUCCCGAUGGAGAAGAAAACAAAACGGAACAGCCAGUGGAAGCCGCCGUGCCGAGGCGGACGGGAGGCUACCAACUCCGCCGCAGCCGCCGCGGCGCAGAGGAAUGCGGCGAGGAGCGGUGGGGCCGCCGCUGCAACGGUAGCUAGCUGCUGGGCUCGGCUCGGAGCGCGGGAGGGGAGCAAUGAGGGUGUGGAGGGAGGGUGCGGGGUGGUGCUUCUGCUCCGGCGGCGGCGACGACGGGGGGCGGUCGGAGCGGGUCAAGGCGGCGAUCUUCUCCGCGAGGGCCUCCGCGCUGGCGGCCAUCAAUGGGCAGGGGCACGGCAGCGGGAGCGGGCUCCUGAUCCACCGGAACCUGCUGCUCACCACGCACGGCAACCUGCCCUCGGCGGCCGCCGCCGAGGACGCCGAGGCGCGGCUCGUCCACGGCCGUCUCGUCGCCCGACUCGAGCCUCACAGGUGCGGAACUCUUCUUCCACCUCCUGACCUGACACCUUCCAAGAUCGCUCUGCACUUGUCUACGAUUGCUUGUGCUUGUGUGGGAUCGGAGGCUUUGGUUAUCUGGCUCUUGCAGUGAUUGCAGUGUGAUUAGCCUGAGAUCCGCCCGCUCCGCCUGCGGCCGAGCUAGCAUGACGAGUCGCUGCGAGCGGAGCCCCACGCGGCGGCAUUCGGCGGAUUCGUCGGUUGUGGUGGGCGAGCUGUUGCUAGUGCUCAUGAUUAGCCGUAAUGCGGCUGAUCAGGAAAGGGAAUUGCUUCUGAAUUGUGGGGUUUCUGUUGGGUAGUUAGUAGUAGCAAUCUUCGAUGUAAUGAUAGCGCCAUGAGCAACACCUCCAGCAGGUGCCCACAAAGAUGGGCGGUGUAAAUGGUGCCUUUUAGUUGUAGCAAUGGGCCCUGGUAUUUUGGAGAAGGUUUGCAUAGACCUUUCUUGGUUUUUGUUGAGUAUAGUACUGUUUAAAGUUUGUUUCUUUUCUUCCUGAGAAAGUCUUUUGAGGGCAUCCAAGAAAUUUUUUGAGUUAUGACACCCACAAGCGAUAAGUGGUUCAUGAUGGAAAAAAGUCAGCAACCAGCAAUCUUGGAUCAUGAAAAGUUCAAAGCGCCCUGUUUGUGCAUUUUAUGUCACCUCAGAUGAACUUUGCUCCUCAGUCAGAAACUGGGUCUGAAAAGCUGAGCACAUUACAUUUGUAUUCUUUUUUUUUGCCUCAAUAAAUUCUACAUUAUAGCCUUCCCACUACUUGUUGUUUAUGAAACAAGCCUGAUGUUCGUCUGAAAUGAUUUUCUUUUUGCACAGAUUCUUCAUUACAAGCUCAAUUCUUGACCUUACAAUAGUGGGUCUUGAUUAUACAGAAGGCGACUCAAAUCUGCAGAGUCAGCAACCUCACUAUUUGAAAACAUGCUGCAAACCAAGCCUAGAUCAUGGAAGUGCUGUGUACCUACUGGGACAUACGGGGAAAAAGGAACUGGUGAUUGGUGAGGGAAAGGUAGUUAUUGGCACAGACAAUCUCAUAAAGCUCGCAACAGAUGGGAUGACAUGGUGCCCUGGGUCUGCCGGUUUUGAUGCCCAAGGGAACCUAGCUUUCAUGAUUUGUGACCCAAUGAAGCUGGCCUCUUCUCCGGCUGCAAGAUCAUCCUCAGCAUCCUCGUCCUCAUCACAUUCGUGGAAGAAGGACCACCCAAUGCAAUUUGGGAUCCCCAUAUCUGUGGUUUGCGAUUGGUUGUAUCAACAUUGGCAGGGCAACUUGGACGAGGUUAGCAAGCCAAAGUUACCUCUUGUUCGGUUGAUGUCCAGCAGGAGUGAUCACUCAAGCACCUCAUUCACUCGUCGUCAUGUGUUCAAGCCUGACGACGAGAAUGAUGAUGCCUCUGUUUGUUCAAAGCCUAAACAUCAGCAGGCAUCAGGAAGCUCAGCCACUGCAAGGAUCUCGCAUGAAGCGAAUCCUCUAGUUGAUCUGCGCACUAGCAGCGAGCAAGGGAUUGCGACGCCAGAAAUAUAUGAAUCGCCAAGGCGAAGUUCUUGCCAGGCUCACAAGGAUGCUGCACCAGUUCAACUUUUGGACAUCAACUUCCCGCCCAGGGCUCCAAAGACUAUCUUUCUACCACUGCCUCUGAAGCAAAUGCUUUCCGAUGAGAACAAUGUCGAAACAUCCAGGCCAAAAAACCGAUCGAAAGGCAAUGGUUUCCCAUCAGGACUGAUAUGGCACCGUAACAGUGAGGCUGAGUGUAGGGACCCUCCAGUAGCUCUUCGGCAUGAGGAUUGCAGCAGUGAGGGGCAGUCGAGCUCAUCACCUGUUGAGAUACUGGAGUAUGGAGGUCAAGAUAAUUAUAGCAGCGAGGAGGAAACAAUGUACUCAGCUGAAACCAUGGAAAGCAGGAACAUUCCAAGCCCCAGGGAAAAGCAUGUGGGGAGGAGCCAGAGCUGUGUCACCUACAGCAGGUGGAGCUCUCCAAGAACCUCGUCGAUGCAAAACGGAACCUUGCGAAAGCAGCAUACACUGAUCCCUGUGCGGAAGACACACUCGCAGAACACCGCUCUGCCGCAGAGGAGUCAUGACUAUUUAAGCCCAACGGUCUCCUCAGCUAUGAAGAAGAGGAAUUCCAUGGAACAGCAACAACCCACAAAGCCUCGUCGGAGCGCUGUUCAGUCUUCGCCAAAAUGGAUGUUUUGAUGGUUCUGCACAUCUGGAUUUGUGGGUGGUGACGAUGAACAAAGAUUUGCCGUUUUGGUGGGAAUCUAUUGCUCCUAUGUUUCCUUCUCAAAGCUUAUCUGUAAGUCGAUGCUGUCUUCCUUGCUUUCUCUCUAUAUGAGACUCUAUGCGCAGAAUGGCUUGGAUAAAUAAAGAGAAACAGAAAGGAAAAGAAAAGGCAGAAAACAAGAAGAAAGAUUACAGAUCAAAUGUGUUGAGGGCAUCAUGUGUGAGCUCGCUGUGAAGUGUUGUUAUCCUUGUGUGUAGACUGGAUGUCUGGAUAAGAACUGUUACAGACUGUAGUAUUCAGCUUACGGAUUUUAACUAAACAGUUUAAUGAUGAUAUUUGUUUCUUUUUUUUUUGUUUUAUCCAUGGACAUGAGGACUAUAAUCAUUUUGUUUGCUGUGGCAUUGCGGUGAUGUGUAUGUCCUGAAUUGAAAUCAGGAGUCUUAAUAGGUUUGAGGGUUUGGCUACCAAGUGAGUUUUUAUUUUCCCUUUUCACUUUACUACUUGAAGCAGAUACUGCUACAGAUCUGAAUACUUUUUUUUUUUACCAGGCUACAGAUCUGAAUGCAGUUGAGGCUUUAGAGUAGAUAAUAUUGUCCGUAAUGCGUUGGUAGUGUGCCAGACUACAGCAAUGUAAAUAGCAUUUAUGGUGAAUAAUGUGGCAGAGUUCAUUGUGGUCCUCUACUCCUCUCCUGUUUGCAGUUCAACAUAAUAGCUUGGGGCUGUCACCAUUAGUCUGAUAGGAUCACUGACAGCCGGACGCCACCUGACUGAACCUGACGGAAUUUAUGUACGCAUUUCAGUCAUUUAGACUGAAAUUCAUCAGCUUCCUCCCUCAGAAUUCAGAAAUCCCUGGCUGAAAAAAUUCAGCUCCUACUGUGAUCAGGCACCCACACCAUUGGUUUUGCGAUGCCUCUGCUUUGUGUACGUGACGAGUGCUCCAUUGCAUGACCUACAGGAUUUUGCACAACCGACAGGCUUGAUUCAUGAACCGUGAUGCUGCGAUGAGCAUCUGGGACUCUGGGUUGCCUGUGCGACGGCAACGUCAACAAUGCCAGGCAGGCAGCUGGACCAGUCACGACACACACCAAGCACGAGAGGUCAGGAGUCAAACCUGGGCAAUGAAUCCAACUAGCAUGCAUCGGCACUGCCUCCUGUCGAGUAAUCUGUCUCCAGGCUCCGUUGAUGCCCUGCGCACAUGGAAACGCUGCUGCCACUCUGUCCCACAGGGACAUAGCACGCUCAAUCAUUUCUCCAUACAAUGCAUCUUCUAUUCUUUUCACAUUACAUUUAUACUUAUAUUCAUAUAUGUCAGCGUAUCACGCUCAUUCAUCUCAACAUUUAGGAGUCACCUUCACAUAAACACCUGCAUAUGUUUCCCGAAACAAAGACACAUCUCCGUAGCAUCAGAGUAUAAUUUACCCCAAAGGCUCACACAGCUAAGCAUAUGAAUAGCUUACAGGUUAUUCCAUGCAGAACGGAAGAUAAUGAAUUUGGGAAUGAGAUGAGAUCCAUCAUGCUAGCUUUUGCAGCUGAAAGUCAUUGUGUAAUCAUGAGCCUUAAACUGAACCUUUUGUAUCAUGAACGAGAUUAGAUGCAGGAGUUGCAAUGAGAAGAAAGGCAGAGGUGGUGUAGUAAGAUGCAAGUUUGAGUACUUCUGCAGCCAACGAUCAGAGAUGAGAAGAAAAGUUGCAUCUUGAUUACUUUGGAAAGAUUUGCACAUGAGCUAAUCAUUUCUUAUGUGACUCAAAACAUCACUUAUGGGCAACUUAGGCGCUACUUUUUUUUUCUUUUCCUUUUGGCAUGUUUCUGCCUUUAUCUUGAACAUCCUGAAGGAACUCUCUUUUACGAAAAAGAACAUCACAAUUUGGAAAUAAACAUAUAUUCGUCUGGAAAAUGGAUUUCUAAGUUCUAGCAACAUAUUAGCACCAUCAGCCAGCUGAAAUGUCAGAAGUCUUUUCUUUGAUAAAAAGUUAAGCCAUUCCAUACAGAAUUUUUGACAACAUAAUUAAGCAAACAACAGAAUUUUCUCAGUCAACUUCGAAGCAUGGACAUAUGAUGAAUGUUUAUGCAUAUUCACUUUGGCAGGCAAUUAUACAUCCUCUGUGCAGGAAUGGAGGUGCACUGCCACUGCAACACCGGAGUCAUGCUGCAAGUUCCAGAAAUAACUAAGCUUCACCAGCAAAAUAAAAUUCAUAGCUAAACUUAAGGUCAAUUUGAAAUGCACAGGGCAUUAUGCAACUUUUCUUCUAACAAAUUGACAAGCAGAAUGUCUUUAAAACUGGGUAAUAGUAGAAUAAAUGUGAAUUGGUCAGACAUAAAGCGCACUAACAAUAUUUAAUUAGCGUGUGUUGUUGAUGGGCAAAUUGAAGAACAUGACUUGUAAAUAUCCCACAUAUUUCAAAAUUGCCAAAUCAGUGAAAAGAACAUGGUUCCUGAAGCAUGACUUAUAUCAGCAUAGCGUGUAGCCAUAAUGUAGGAUCUGUCAAAUAUCUUGUGAAGACAGAAAAGAGCAAAGGUGGGGAACAAAUACAAUAGAUUAGCUGAUAAGGUCCGGUCCAUCCAGUCACUCUGAAAAAGAGCUGCCACGAUUUGACGAGCCAUCACAUUCCACAACACGAUCGGGGGGUGUUUGGUUCCGCGGACUAAAGUUUAGUCCCUAUCACAUCGAAUGUUUAGAUACUAAUUAGGAGUGUUAAAUAUAGACUAAUUACAAAACCAAUUGCACAGAUGGAGGCUAAUUCACGAGACAAAUCUAUUAAGUCUAACUAAUUCAUGAUUAGCACAUAUUUACUGUAGCAUCACAUUGUCAAAUCAUGGACUAAUUAGGCUUAAUAAGGCUUAAUAGAUUUGUCUCGCGAAUUAACCUCCAUCUGUGUAAUUGAUUUUAUAAUUAGCUCAUGUUUAGUCUUUCUAAUUAGUAUGUAAACAUUCGAUGCGAUAGGGACUAAACUUUAAUCCGUGGAACCAAACACCCAGUGAGACGCUAGGGAUGGCAUCCACUAAAAGGCACUAAAUCCCGAAACCUAAAGAAACCAUUAUUCCAGCUAUUAACUAGCCACUAUCAACAAGUAGUAUCCUAGUCAGACAUCCAUGUGUCGUGUCCAAAUGGAUAAACAAAAUCCCACAGGCAGAGGAUAGAGAUUGCUGAACACCCUAGCAGUGAUCUCCAAAUCAAACCAACCCCGUCCCUUUUUUUUUCCUCUCUCAAACAAAUCUAGUGUAGCAACUACACCACGUAAUAAUGAUCACAUCAAAAUACUAGCUAGAAGUAACAGCAAUUGCCACUUAACUAAGCAGGUGGGGAAUUUAUACAUAUUCCUUACUACCCCACUCUCUCAACUCUUACUCUGACCAAUUUAAUGAAUCCCGCGGGCGACAGCAGCAGCUGAGCAGCCGCGUCAGAGGUUGCAUCCGAGGCAGUCGCAGGACUUGGGCAUGAAGGAGCAGUACCCGAAGGGGCGGUUGGGGAUGUUGCAGUUGAUGGCGUAGCAGCAGGGCGCGAGGACGCAGGUGUGCCUGUCCCCGCCGCAGCAGGUGCAGGGCGCGCAGAGCUGGAAGCUCCCCCCAAGCCGCCGCCGCGUGUCGUUGAGCCCGAGCGCCAUCGCGCCCAGCUCCCCCUCCGCCGGGGCCACCGGCACCAGCCCCCGCCGAGAAGGCGCCGCUCCCUGUGCCUGCGCGCGGGGCAACAUGACACAAUGUGAGCGGAAUUGCAGGAAGUCCGAGCCAGAUUCGGGGGAGAUUCGGCGAUUGGAGAACGCUGGCGUACCUGGGAGCUGCUGGAGGCCGCGGCCGAGGAGAAGAGCAGAAACACGAAGAGCGGGAGGAGCUUGGGCAUGGCUGCUCGGCUAGGGUUUUUGUCCUGGGUUGUCGCGGUGCGCUGUUGCAGCGGGGAUUUGGAGUGAGCGAGGAGCGGGUGGGAUGGAUGGAUGGAGGAGGGAGGGAGGUUGAAGGAGGUGGCGGAGUGGGGUUGGAGGGAGGGAUCGGGAGAGGGAAGCUAGCUGGAGGAGGAAGUGAAGUGAAGAUGUGAAAAGGCGAGGGGCGCCUUGCCUGCCUCGGCUUCUUUUCGGAGAAAGCGAGGGCCGCCGGCUCGGGAUGGGAGAUUUGGAUUUGGAAAUGCGCCUCGUCGUCUCCCCGUGCGCACACGCACCAGCUGGCGUCAUGAUCUCUUGGCGUUGCGAGGGUUGAUGGCAUUUUGAGGAGUUACCGCAGUGCUGACCUGACCCAGCGCCAACAGCGGUGGCACGGGAUGGAGAAGGGCGCUCGAGCCUCGAGGACUCGAUCGACGUGCUUCAACGCUCGACGGGGGAUCGAGCAUAAUAGGUUACAGCAACAUGGUUGGGUGACAUUUUACGGGGAUGCAAGAUUGCAAUGCAAUGCGGGAGAUUCCUGCAGGGUUUGACGGCAAAUUGCUAGUGGUAGUGCUAUCAGAUGUAGACGAAGAAGAUGGGGUCCGACCGUCCGAGUCGCAGUGCUGGUACACACGCGUGAGCUUGAUGGACGAAUCUGUCGGGACCUUGGUACCGAGCAGGAUCCGGUGGCCGGUCCUGACAGUCCGCUGGAUUUACCAGGUUACGGGGAGGGAGAUCCUCCUCUGCAAUGAUUCCGCAGGGUGAUCUGCCUGUCCAGUCUACUGCCACGCCUAACUGUACAACCAACCCGAACGCGGGACCAAGAUCACAACAGAAACAUCCCUUUUAUCUUGUCCGUGUGGUUUGAUUUCUCGAUGCUGCCAUGCUGGAGAUGUGGAUCAUCUUUUGAGUCUCAGUGCUUCUUCUUUUUUUUUUGAUAAAGAGUCUCAUUGCUUCUUUGGUUUGAGUUGCUUAUUAUAAGCAACUUAAAGUUGCUUAUUUGAAGUUGCUUAUUUUUAAUAUAGCUGUUUGGAUACCCUUGCUUAUGAGCAUUGAAUGAGGUGGAUAUUGUCAUAUUUGCCUCUUGUGUUGCUACCCCUCUCUGCCUCCACACGCUUCUUCUUUCCUGCACACGCUUGAUCCCCGGGGUCGACGGCGGGCAGAGAGUAGCAGCAGGUGACCGGUGGCGGCGGCGGGGCGGGAGUGGGAGCGGCGGGCGGAGGCUGGCGGUGGCGGCGACGGGGCAGGAACGACGGGCCAGGGCGGGAGCGACGGGCCGACGCGGGAGCGGGGGAUCCGGCGACGGGGAAGGGGAGAGAGAGAGGAGUAGAGUGCAUUGAAUGAGGGCAGAAGGUGUAAAGUGCACCUUUUAGUCCCCAUAAGCAACUCUUGUGUUGCUUAUUUGCUAAAAAUAAGCAGCCCCAUAAGCAACCCAAUAAGUAAGGGUGAUUGGUUUCAUAAGCAAAUAAGUUACUUAUUUUAAGUUGCUUAUGCAUAAGCAACUCAAACCAAACAGGCUCUCGGUAUUGCACUCUUGCUGUAGGCUGUAGGGAUAAACUGUUCAAAGCAGCAAAUCAACAUUCACAGCGAAGAAUGAAUCCAGGUACCUGCCUAGUGUUGCCACGGCCCGCAAAUGCAGGUUUCAAAUAAAUCCAUGCGAUGGUAUAAUUUGUAAUAUUGCAGAAGAAUGAUCACCGGCAGGCUUCGGCUCCUUUUUUUCGGAGCAUUUCCUACCUCGCCAACUGUUAAAUAGUGCAGCAAAGUCAAAUAGUGCAGGCACACGAAAACUGGAACUCUUCCUUUAUUCAGAUUGCAAUAGGUACUCCCAAAGAUCUGGAUUAACAAAAAAAAAAGGGCUGUACAUCUCCGGUAGCAACUCAAUUUACAGAACUUGAUUCCGGCGGGGAGUUAGGAGAAACAUUCACAGCGCCUGAGACGACGCGGUGGAUUUUAUACAUCACAAGGUAGGUCAACAGAAGAAAAAAAAGGCGUCUAGGAUGCGUAUCCAGAACCAGAUGGGGAUCCCAGAAGGCGCCGAGCCAUAGGUACAUUAGUUGAAGCGGAUGCAGGAGAAGCUGAUGCUGAGAAACCAUAAGCGUAGACUCCCAUUGGAGCGGUCAUUGGAUGGUCGAACUUACAGUUGGCUCCAAACUUGCAGAUGCCAUAACGUGAAUAGAAUUUGCAGAGUUCUUCACCCUGGAAAAUAAACAUAGGAUGGUGUAUCAGCCUCUCAGGACAAUCAAAGGCAGUAGACCAUUCAAGGAAGUGCAGCAAAAGGUCUAGCUAAAGCCUAAUCAUGAGACACUAUAUGUAAGCAAUACCCACUGUUCAUUCAACAACUUGUAUGUUACCAAAUCAAUAAACAGAUAUACUUAGAGUGUGUUUGGUUGCAUGCACCACUUGAUGUAUGCAUGGAUGAUCCUAGAUGAUGGAGUUCAAUCAAUUUGCUCGUACCAUAUGGUUCACUCUUAUUAGUAGAAUAAUGUAUUAAGUGAGAUGGCUUCAUCCUGGAUGGGUUGAUACAAUUCAUCCAACAAAAAAAAAAGGAUCAUUAUUAUUUUGAACAAUUCCAUACAUGAACAAAUGGUAUAAGCAACCAAACACACCCUUAAUACCUGCCCUAGAAAAUUAAUAACUUCUGACAAUGCUCUAUUCAGUCCAGUCAUCAACAAUGAUGCUUGUCUACAAUAGUGGGCUUAGUGGCUGAGCCCUCAAAAGUUUUUUAUGAUAAAACAGAGCUCAACCAACACAUAACAAGAAUGGUCUAAUAAUGGUAUCUCGAAUCUGCAUCUUAAGCUUCUUCAGUAGUGUGCAUUUUUUGCUACGAGAACAAAUCAGACAUCAUUUGCAGAAAAAUCAUGCCACUGCAAAUCAAUCAUCUAGCUGAGAAACAGCAUGUACAAAACAUCCUUCAUUUUCUUAUCUGCCACAAAUCAGCUCUUUAUACACACGCAAUACAUCUUUGAUUUUAAAAUUCUCGGACUGCAGAACUGCCAAGCAGUUACAUAGAUGAAUAUUCUCAACAAGGAUGUGAUCUGUGAGAACAGCAUCCGCUGCUUCUCUCCCAAAAAGAGAGGUACAGCCAUCAAUGAAUGCAUAUGCAAUACAAUUGACAAAACGUCUAAACGAAUGAUAAAUAUAACAGAAACAGUGAAGGGUUGUGGUUAAUGACUUACUGGACGAAUUGGAAGACCCAUUGGACUUAAGACACAAUCUGGAGGCGGCAGUGAUCUCACCCUGGGAUGAUGGAACUUGCACACUGCACCAAAUUUACAAUCUCCUGUCUUCAUGUAAUAUUGGCAUUCUGGUUGAUCAGGUCUCUCAGGAAAUACAUUCUCUCUCUGCAGCGCAUAUUGAGGCACAGGAAACGAACUAGAUCUGUAGGGUGAUAACAUUCCCUGGUUUCCUGCGCUAGGUUCCCCUUGUUGAGAGGUUCCAUAGGUUUGUUGAGCCCCUGGUGACUGCAGUUGACCCUGAGAAGAUGAUACAGAUAGCAUUUGGCCCUUUAGAGACAAGUAAAAUCAGAAACUAUCUACUACCCUAAAAUUGGCUCCAAUAAUUUAUGUAAGAACAGGUUUCAGUGUCACAAAUUAUGAAACAGAUUAGAGAAAAUCAUUGCCUGAUAUGCAAUUUGCAGAAGAUCAAAUAAGUGGGAGAAACAAGUUCAAAUAGCUACAGACAAUACUUUUGCACUCCCUAUUCUUCUAGGGAAUCUCUCAAGACUCCGUGUUUAACAAAGUUUUGAAGGAAAUUAGUAGAACCAAUUAGUGCAAAUUGCAACUGCUUCAUGAUUUAAAAUUGCACUGCAUUACUAGAGCAAAUGAACUUACAGGAUAUGAAUUCCAGCUUGGCACUUGAACAAGACCCUGAGGUACAAUCAUUGGUGCAUAAUUUGAAGGACUUUGCCAUCUGGGGCUUGGGAUAUAAGAAGCUCGUGGAAAAGCCCAACUUGCCAUAGUUCCAGUAUAGGAUUGCGGACCAGCGCUUGCAGAGGAAUGUACAGAAGGAUAAAUAGGAGAACCACGUGAAGAAGGCACCGCAUUGAAAAGUUCCGGAUGGUGGAAUUUACAAGUAUUUGCAUAUUUACACUGUCCUGUUUUUAAAUAAUAUGCACACUCCUUUUCGUUCUACAAAAGUAAAGUGGACUUCUUUUCAGUACAGCAAGAAGAGACAAGCAUAGAAAAGGAAGGAUGUAUAACUGCCAGCAAACGAACGAACCGGGCGGAGUGGAUAUCCUAAUGUGUUUAGCUGCACCCUUCCUGCAAUUCCAGCCUUUUCCCUGGGAUGGUGAAAUUUGCAUGUUGGGCCAAACUUGCAUGUUCCGGUCUUCAGAUAAUACUACAUGAAAAAUGUUCAGAAAUUUUCAGCUUCGAUCUUGCACAAAGUAUAACCUAAAGAUUGUACGAUCAAACACAAAUACCCAGGGAAAUGUCAAGACUAACAGAAAUACCCAAAUGACUAAAGUAUGAGUACAAUCACAAUCCAGAUUAUCGUUCAGAAAUCUGAAGACUAUGCCUCAGUUCCAUUCUAGCUGCAUGAAUAACUAAGGGACCAGAACAUUGAUCUCUUCUGAUCUUGUCUAUAACUAUAUGAAUCUUUUAGCUACAUUGAUAUUCUUGUCUCUGCUUCUUUUUUAAUUGAAAGUGUAUGAACCAGCUAAGCAAUUUCUUAAAAUCAUCCUACAAGAAAAACAGAACAGAUUUGGUCAGUGACCACAUAGGUAGUGAUUGGUAGGCUGCACUAGUUGCUAGCCAUGCUAACUUUAACCCAGGCCAAUUUUGACCAGGCUAAAUCAAUGCAAAGUGCUCGUGUUUGGUUUGGUGGCUAAAGAUAGCCUGGUUUGCUAUGCUCAUGUUUGGUUGGCUGCACAAUGUGAUAAGAUGACCCUGUAUUUCCUGGAGUUGAAGUUACCACCCAUAUCUCUCCCUCUUCUCUCAUCUGCCCCGUCCUCGCUUCCACCUAGACGUGCCCCGCCACCGCUGACAGGCUCCUCGGUGCCCCAUCCCCUACCUCCAUCAUCACCUCCUUCCCACUUCUCCUCCUCCAGAGCUCGCUCUCACUCAUGCGGUGGUGGAGGUUGCGGCGAGGCCUUCAGGUGGAGGACUUGAGGAGCUUCGGCGAGGCUCAAUCGAGUUCGAGCACGGCCCAAUCGAGCUCCGGCGAGGCUCAAUCGAGCUCGAGCACGGCCAAUCGAGCUGGGCACAGACAAAUCGAGCUCCAACAAGGCUCCUCCUUCAUUAACGGGUGCUCGUCUCGCCAACCGAAGCGCUGCUCCCGCGCCGGCCGGAGCGCCGUGCUCCCACAGCUCCACUCCCGUGGCAGCUGCAUCGCCGCUCCCGCGCCUGUUUUUGCUCCUGCGCCGACCCAAGCGCCGCUCGCGCGCCUGGCUGCGCUGCCGCGUCGGCUGCAGCGCCGCCGCCACACGGGGCUCCGCUGCCGCGCCGGCCUGCUCAAUGGUCGGAGAUGGAAAAAGGGGAGGUGAGGUGAGGAGAUGGGAAAGCUACGGGAGGUGAUGAGAAAGCAGAGCGCCAGAGCCAUAGCUAAGCCAGCCUGCAUUGCUGUAAGCGGAUCUCAUUCUUGUUUCCAGUAAGCCUGGCUAGUACCCCUCCCCUACAUUAGCUAAGCCUGGUUAAAGGUCUUGUGCAUGCUACCAAACACAGUGAAGCUGCAUUAUGGGAGCCUGGAUAGGGGCUAUGCACCCUACCAAUCACAACCAUAUGGAACUGUCAACCACAAAACCAUUGCCACAAGUAAUACUUUCAUGACUAAAUCAUGUUUCUGAAAACAAUUACCACAAGUAACACUUUUAUGACUACAUCAUGUUUCUGAAUGAUAGAAGUGUUAGUUAUCAGAAUUACCUGACAUUCUGGCUGUCCCACUCUCUCAGGAUAUUCUCCCUUCAUUCUGGCAGAGGCAAUAGCCUAAAAUUAAACAGAUUCAACCUAAUUUGAGAACAAAAAAUGGGAUAUAAAGUAAAGAAACAACGAUUAGUUCAAUAAAGAUGUAGAUUUUACAAGGAAUAACUAGCACCAACCAAUGCAAAGCAUCAGUAAAGAACACAAUAUCAUAGCUUGCGGAGUAACUAAAAGCAAACUAUAAGACAAAUAGCUGCCUCUGUCCCAUUAACUUUGCUAAUAUGGAAUUGAGUUAUUCUGGCAGAUUGGGAGAAAACUGACAGCCACAGACAAUAGAUCAUAAACUAUGCUUCAAGAUCAUAUCACCAUACAAAUAGAAAAAAAAAACGAGUCACAUGGGACAAAUAGCACCAAGCUCACCAUAACAUGAACAGAUAGAAAGAAGGAUGGAGCACAAGGGAAAAUUAAUCAUAUUGACACCCUGCAAGCUAAAAACACAUAUUAUUCUGCAUUAUAUUUACAAAUUGUUUUAUCUGCAACACACCACAGGACUAGCAGAUAAACAGAAACAUCAAACAGCACAUAAGACAGGUAAGCACCUCAGGCAAAACCUUAUCACCAGCCUACUGAAACCUAUAUCUUUGUGUGUUUCCCAAUGGAAAAGCUUUUAAAUAUCAAGACAUGCCAUCACAGCUUUGCUUUUCAAACAUUGCUCCUUGCAUUUUGUUCAGUGGUGCAACAUUAAAUACAUCAGAGAAGGACAAAACUUAUAAAGGCUUUGGUCCAAGGGCAAAUUCUUCAAGACUACACAUGGUUCUACAAAUAAUGCUGAAAAUGUACAUAAUAACAGGACGCCGGAUAAUAGCAAAAUAUCUGGUGAUCCAAGAAAUAUGGCACAUAAAGAGUUUGUAAAAGAAGAUACUCACCAGAUUCCUAUCCGGAGGGUGAUUGAACCUGCAGCUCAUGCCAAAUCUACACAAUCCAGUCCUGAGGUAGUAAGUGCAGUCCGGUUCACCCGGCCGCUCAGGAUAUGGCCCAGGUUGCAUAGUGGCACCGCUGUUCAUGGCCAUCUGUUGCCACAUCCCCUCUGCAAUCAACAUUGCACAUACACUCACAACUUGACUAUAAACCAGUAUAGUUUGAAAAACUGAGAUCAACAUGUGUGUAAUGUGAAAUUUUCACUUUAGGUCUCUUUGAGUGAUGAAGCCAUCCACAUUUUUUCCACCGACGCUAUUCAUGCAAAAAUAACCUCCAGACAAGAACUAAAUCAUCAAUACCUUAUAGUUGUUCAGCAAAUUUCUAAGAAAGCAUCCGUUAAAUCCAGAUGCUAGACAAGCUAUAGCAAAAGGUAGAAUCCUUAUAAACUAGUCACAGCAUCACACGGCAAAAACCCCAAUUGGCCCAAUUCCACGCCGACGCGAAGAUCAGGCACCAUACAAAACUGCAGCUCUCGGCACCGCUAAAGUAACUGGGAUUAGCAACCCAUGGUUGACAACAGAGUAUUCCAGGAGCAACCAAUGAUUCCACCGAAAAACAUACGGAAAAACAGAGCACCUGAGCUUAACCUACACGGGAAAUUAAGCAUCGAAACCCCAAUUCACCGAACCGCACCACAGUUGGAGCGCGAGUGGAGAGAGGAGAUGAAGCCCUAACCUCCAUAGAGCGCGGAGGGGUCGGGGGAGGACGUGUCGGCGGCGGCGGUGGUGGCGGAGGGCGGAGGAAGCGCGGGUGCGGAGGUGGCGGAGACCGUCACCGCCGCGGGAGCGGAUGCCCUUCCGGCGUCGUCCAUCGGCGGAGAGUGGCGGUGUCGACUGCCAUCACGCGAUCAAGGCGGCGGGAGGAGCUGCAGCUGCCAUCCCUGGGCUCCGGCGAGGGAGGGGAGCAGCGAGUGAUCGGUGAAGAGAAGAGAAGAACAGAGAGGAGGGCCCUGCCCCUCGUAUUUAUUUCUCUCUCUAUUCUCUCUCCACCUUUCGGAGCCGCGGUUUGCUACGUGCACUCGCGCGUGGCGUUGUAGUGCAACACGCGCCUCCUUUCUUUUGGGUUGGCACGGGAGAGUGUUCAUGGCGUGUUUGGUUUAUGUCAUUAGCGCGCCGAAUACCACAUGUUAUUGCAGCAAACCGUGGGCGGGUUUGAUUCAUGUCAUUAGCGCGUCGCAUACCACACGCAAUUGUAGCAUAACGCAGAUGGGUUUGGUUGGUGCCGUGGAUUUAGCGCGUCAUAUUGCUAAUGCAGCCACAUGGCUCAUUUCGAGCGUCAUUCGCCGCAGCUUAGCCGCAUCCGCCGCAUAGUACGACGUAUUAACAUCAGCAUCCAAAACAUGCUUCUAAUCUUUGUUAUUUGAUUUAAAAAUAAGUGCGGUUGAAAAUAUUGAUGAAAAAUAAAAUUACGCAACUGUAGUGCUUGUCAUUAACUUUUAAGUGUUAAUUUAACCUAGAGAAUAAAAAGAAAGAGUGAUCAAUAGAGUUGGAACAGUUCCAACAUAUAUCAAUAGAGUUGGAACAGUUCCAACAUAUAUUUCAAUAGUAAAUUGUAGAGUGUAAAGUGAUUCCAUCUCAUGAAGUUUAUUUAUGGAAUAUGGAGUUUUUAUACGUGCUUUUUCAAGUUAAGUGGCAAUUAUCACCAUAUUAUGAUGAACAAAGUGAGAUAGAUUAGCAUUGGACCUUGAUUUAGGCAUCAUCGCUCGAUUAUCUUCAAGAUAUACGCUUGGUAGAGGCGUCAUAGGGUACAAGUGGAUUGUUCUAGUUCAUAGAUAUAAUUUAUUUUCAUUCCAUCCUUCUACUUUAAAAUUUUAGAUUAAUCUACUUUGAUGCAUUUCCGUGUUUUUCGUUCACUAAUAACCCAAAGAAAAGGAAGACAUGCAUCCCAUGCUCAGACCAUAUCACCAAUUACUUUCUCGUAUAAAAAAGUGUCUAAACCCCUAUUUACUUCAUAUACGCGGAAAUAACUUAGGCAAGACAAAACUACAAUAUUAACGAACAACAAAUGAAAAUGGAACGGUAAAAUAGGCAUUUCGAUCCAUGAACUUUGCACCAAGGGUCAGGUUCGUCCCUCAACUUUUAUAUUUGAUCAAUCUAAUCCCUCAACUUUUAUUUUUGAUCAAACUCAUCCUUUUUGCUGAUAUGGAGCUCCAUAUUAGCAUGACACUGAUGCAAAAAGUCCUUUAUACCCUUAGAUCCUUAUUUCCCUCUUCAAUUUUCACUGAAAUAAAUAUGAGCAUAUAAGUAUGAUCCAAAUGUGGAGCAUGUGUACCGUACCGUAAGUAUGUGAGCACAUGUCAAUUUUAAUUUUAAAGCAUGCUUACAUAUACUGAAUUGUAUAUAUACCAAAAUAAUAUAAGUACAUACUUGUUUGAUUACAUACAUUUUGCAUAUCAAAUUCUUAUAAUAUGCAAAAUGUACGUAAUCAAAUAAGUAUGUGUGUGUGUAUACUGCGUAUAUGCAUGAUUUAAAGAGUAUGAGUAGAUAUUUAGAAAUCAUAUUUUGUGUUAGUUAAAAAAAUAUAUUAUUGUGUGUAUGUAUUAAGGGAGUAUGAGCACAUACAUGUUUGACCUACAAGAGCCAAAGGGUAAAAGUGACUUUUUGCAUUAGGCUCAUGCUAAUAUAGAGCCCCAUAUAAGCAUAAGGACGAGUUUGAUAAAAAACAGAAGUUGAUGGACUAAAUUGGUCAAUCUAAAAGUUGAGGGACGAAUUUAUACCCUAGUGCAAAGUUUAAGGACCACCGUGUCUAUUUUUGCCAAAUGGAAUGUAAGUCCAUUUCCCACAAACCACGUAACGAAUCCCGGUGGUGCACGAGCCGACGUGCAGCUAGCAAUUUUGCAGUGCUCUUUUGUAUGCAUCUCGCAGUGCGGGGCUGCUGCUCAUUUCCGCCUUUUCUUUUCUUCCUUUUCCCUUUCUCCUCAAGCUCGGCCCCGGCUUUUAUGCGUUCGUUUCCUGGCCAUCUUUUUGUUCGGGUGUGAAUUGUGAGGAGAGGAGCAAGGGCAUGCGACCGGAGUGACCUCAGCCAGUCGUUCCAGCUUCCCUUCCCCUUUUCCCCCGCCGCGGCCCCUCUCCCUUCUCCCGGCUUCUGGCUUUUUCCCCUUUUUAUUUCCGCUCGAUCGAUGCCCGCGUAUCUCCCCUCCGCUUUCCAAUUUUCUCCCCCCUCUCCCUUUCGCUCGUGGUCACCGACCACUUGUGUCGUGUGCGAUUCCGGCGGCUUUGGGCCUACGAGCCCGGUCCUCUUCCUACGGCUCGGAGUUGGAGGUGAAGUGAAGCGAAGCCGAGCUUGCAUGCACGCGACGCGAGUGCCGCGCGUCGUGCUGUGCGGCGGUGGUCUCCACGGGCCUGGGUGGGAGUCGAUGGAUGCGCCAUGUCGCCGUGCCGCUCGCUGCGGCGGCGGUCACUCGCGCCGCCCGACCGUGGUGCUGGAACGCUGGAUCACACGGGAGCCGGACGCGUGCGGCACAUCAGAUGCGUGCGCGCGCCACUUCCGAAGGGAAAAGUGCGGCGGCACCGCGGCAGGCACGAAAUCUCGCGGAGUGGAUUUCGUCUUCCUGUGCCUUUCGCAUCCCCUUCGUUUCCUUCACGAUCACAACCGGCGAAAAAAAAGAGAGAAAGAACAAUUGGGUGGGUGCUAAAUGUCGCAUUGGUGACUAGGUGAGGCCCAUGGGCCUAACAAUUCUAUUGUCCGUCCACGGAACAUUCUUUUGGGUGCGAAUAGACCAUUUUACAACCGCAAACAACUAUUUGUUCUCGCUAAUAAAAAAUGUUCCGUACGAAAAAAAUAAGUGUUGAAGAAGAAAGAAAAGCUUGCGAUGUGUGGAAAAAAAACAUAUGACAGUCACAUAUGCGACAGCUAACAAGCCCUUCUUGUGUAGCGGUUUGCGAUAUGCUCCACGACCAGGCAUUCUAAAACAAUAAGAGUGAACAUGCAAAUAUUUUUGGAGACCCUAAAGAUAAAGAUGGACAGACAAUUCACUCGAAUUGCAUUUGCAGCCUUUUCGGAGCACGUCGUCUCCUGCAAGUCCCAACUUUAGGAUCGUGUUAUUGGAAUGUUCUCAAUUAGAGUGGAUCAUAUAGGUUAGUUACACCUCAAUCUCAUCGAUUUUUACAUGACGUCUCUCGCAUUAGUUUUUCUAUUUACAACACAUGAAACCUCAUUAUAUCAAUAUCGUGAAUAUAUAAGGAAAGGACAACAUCUAUAAAAAUAGGGCACAUGCCCUCCUCCCACAAACCCCAAGUCCCUAACCGCCGUAUAUGGAUCGAAAUGACCUUAUGGGUUUCAACCUUCGACGCCCGUAUCCGAGUCUCAUCAUGUUCACGGCACUGUGGUGCCAAGUGCCAACCCCAACAUACCCAACAAAGCUACCCUCGUGGAGUGGAUUUCUUCUUCCUGUGCCUUUUACAUCCCUUCAAUUUCUUCUUAAACACAAUUUUGGGAAAAAAAAUAAUUUUAAGUGGCUACAAGCCCUUCUUAUACGGCGGCUUGCGAAAUGCUCUAGAACCAGCAAGAGUGUGGACACGCAAUGUUCUUUUUUGAGACUCUAUUGCCAAGGUUACAAUGGAGAUGUCAAUCUCUGGUUGAAAUGGUAAAGAUGAAUAUGUGGACCAACCCCCUAUUCAGUGCACGUGGUGUCAGUGUUUAGACCCGGCAACCUACCGAUGGGGCAUCUGAGGUAGUGUUUAAUGUGUGGGGCUUGCCGAAGACCUGGAACUCGAAAGUGAACUCGAACACACGAUUUAGACAAGUUCGGGCCGCUUAUGUCGCGUAAUACCCUACGUCCUCUGUGUUGGUUGGAUUGUAUUGAUUGAUGAUGUUUGAAGGGGGUCCCUGCCUCGUCUUAUAUUGCCGGGAGCAGCAUUACAAGUCGGUUGUUUUACAAGAGUACUAGUCGGAUUCGACUAGAGAGUCCUACUCUAAUUGCUACGAGUAUUUUUCUAAUCCUCGACUAGUUCUUGUCCUUCACGUAGAUCACGCCGUCCUGCUUCGUAGUCUUCAUGUCCGACAUGUCUCGGUGUGCAGCUCCGUAUGCAAGACUGUCCAAGCCUCCCGGUGGACCUAUAGAUGUAUGGCUGACAUGUGGGCUCAUGCAAAAGCCCAACAAUUCUAACCGGGCCGAAACCGACACUAUUCACCCCCGGCGUUGGGCUUCACCGCCAAGCGAAUCGAUGACGAAAAAUGAUGGGCCCCUCUCAUCAAUCAACUCUUCUUGUCAGGCCGCAGGCCGAGAGAGAGAAAUGGAGAGGGUAAAAUGGUAAAAUAUGUGAGAACAGCAUUAGUCUACGCUUGUUAUUAGGGCAUUCACAAACAUCGGUUCUGCUGCCAUCACACCAGGACCUUCGUAUUAGUGGCAGUAUAGCGCCAUUUUUACUGGUUUAACUGCAGCAGAUACCGUGGAACUCGCAGUCCGGCACACUUGUCUCGGCCUCAGCUCAGGUCUGCGCAUUGCACUACUAGACACGAGAGGACGUAGUAGAGCAACAGCAAGCACGACAGGGGCCAGAUUCGAUUCGAUGGCACGGCAUGGGCGCAUGGCGCUCGCCCUGCGUCCCUUUCCCGUGAUCGCGGUUGCAGACGGGGCCCCCACCUCACAGGCACAGCGACUCGCGCGCGCCCUGUGCGCAACGCAACAUGGGCUACAUGGCAACAUGCCACAAGCUGGCACGUGCCAGCAGCCAGAGCCCGGGGACGAGAGGAGAGAAUCUCUCCCCCUCUGGCUCUCUCUCCUCUGGUCUCUCUCUGCACGAGGAGUCGAGCAGUUUCCCAGUUCCCUUCCGUCCCGCUUCUGCAACUGCAAGCCUGCACUAGCCACCAGCUGCACUGCUCGCCGCAGAACCCUGAACCCCCUGUGGCCCCCGGCCUGGAGUCCGCUGUGGUGGGGACACCGGGCAGGCGGGCUCCAGCUUUUCGCCAUAAAGAAAGAAGACUCUGCCGUCCCAUCGGCAUCCCUGACCAUGCAUGAGCUCGUUCAGUACGGGAAAACAUGCGUUAAUCAGGAUUAAUUAGCGAAUUAACCUUAUUUAUGUAAUUAUUUUUAUUAUUAAUCUAUGUUUAAUCCUCCUAAUUGUCAUCAAACAUGAUCCGAGUUAAAUUUUAAACAUUCCCUCAAGCCUCGUGGUUCCACGGCACGCCAACCACUCCCACCCAGGCACCCACGGCAGAAUUCUCCGCAGGUUAUCCAUGCCGUCUCCGUCAGGUCCGGGCUCCGGUACAUGCAGCCGAUCACGAGCCAUGAACACAAGGCCCCAAGUGGCCAAGCCGUGCGCACCGCCGCGCGUCGCGUGGAACGGUUAACUCUUGUUCUGGUCCGGCCGUGAAAAAUCUGAUGGUCCGCCUGCUGCGUGGCGUGGCGUAGAGUGUUGAAUGCGUGAUGGAGGGGGCCAAGGCCAAGCGACAGGCGUUGAAGCGGAGUGGAGCACGUAAAGCUGCGGGGGACAAGCCGAGGCAGAGACGGCAAGCGUCCAUCCGUCUCCCUCCCUCGUAGCCCUCGUCCUCUGCGUUUCAUUUUCAUCGCCACGCGCCCACGCCGCCCUAGUUCCAGAAGCAGCGGCAAAGCCGGCAAGCCAUUGCCACCCAAGAGAGAAGGAACGACCGGGGAGCUCGUGAUGAAAUGAAAUGUGGAUGCAUAGGGGUGUUAUUCAGCUGAACUGGUUAACUUCGAAGCUGGAAUGUGUGAAAUUUUGAACCAAGUCGAAUUGUUCCCGGUGAGUUCUGGUGGCAUCUUCUCCGUAGAAUUCUUGCCGCGCAAAGGGCAUCCAUGAUCCAUCCAAGGGACAUCAACACGAAGGAACAAUCAUGCGUUCAGUGCCAACCUUUUUUUAUCGUCAUGCACGAUAAAGAGAUAAACUGGCAGUAGGCCAGGCCAGCAGCAACUGAAGAUUAGAUCAAAGCAAGUCCAGUCACAGUCAAAAGGGAGAAUAGAUCAAAGCUGCUCCGAGCCGUAUGAUUGUGCGACCCACCCGAUCCGUGCCAAGUGCCAUCAUGAGAUCGAUCGCUGCCGUGCUACCCAGUGGACCCUAUCGGCUAUCGUGGCCGCUGCUGCUCUGAACCGACCGGUCCCGGCUCGAGCUGACCCGACCUGGCCCCGUACCCGUGCUGCACCGCACCGCACGGCACAGUGCCCGUACGCGAUCCCAUCCAUCCAUCUGCCCGUCGGACGGGUCACGAACCGUUCGGUCCCUUCGCGUGCUCGCCUCUCCGUUCUCUCCCACUGUGCGGCUGCGCCCCGCUUGGCGCUUGCCUUCACGGUUACAGCUUCAGUUCAGUUCGGAGCAGGAGCUCUCUGGCCCUGCCGCGAUCACGGGCUCGGCCGCCCGGCGGUGCCCGUGAGCCUGUCUGUCAGCUGGGUGAGAAUCUGCGCGGUGCGGUGAGGUGGUGUGGUCCUCGGCUCUGGGCGCGCGGGCGCUUGGCGUGUCGAUAUCACCCCGGCAAAAUGAGGCAAGGGGUUUAACGAGCUAGGUGCCGGUGGCAGCACCUCCAAUUAGUAACCAGUGAACGUGGGCGACGCAGCUGGAGCUUUUGACCUUUGAGAUUUGGAGCCCUUGGAACUUUGAAUUGGGGGGCUUCUGUUUUUGUGGAUGGACCAGUGAUCUGCAUGCGUCAAGCCGAUUUGAUUCUGUAUCUAUUCAGAGCGAAGCCAUUUUUUGAAGGGAGGUGGCUAGCUACUCAAGUCCAAUCAGAUACGUAGUUUCUUUUGCGGCUCCAUUUGUGCUCAAAUUCUAGUUUUCCGAGUUCAAUUCAAAUGCAUUUUGGUGAGCAAGAACGUACGGUUCUGUGAUGUGAGGUGACGUUGUUACGAUUGGGGUCACAGUAUUUUGUCCCAUGCGUGGCGUGCGCACGUUCAUGACAGUUACUUUGGCUCUAAGAAGAGACGAGCAAAAGAUGCUGACAAGAAGACACUACAAUCAACUACUUUUGUUCUUACCAUUCAAUGUUUUUGUUCAGGUUGUGCUUAGUUUAUUUGACUGGAAUUCCAGAAGAGACCUGCCAACGCUGUUAUUAAAUGUACCAUAUACUAGAAAUAACGUCAUAAUACAAGAUAACUCCUCGUUGUUGUUGGGCACAAUAGGUGAUUGCAAGACAAGGGGAAAAACAAUGAUGCAACUAGAGAUCCAAGCGUAGCAAGAUCGUAGUGUCGCAUGGAGUCAUCUACUCAUCUACCCGUCUGUUGCUUUUUUUUACAAAUAUGAAACUUUUGAACAAAAGAAAUAGAGAAAGUAUUAACGAUGGACCAUGCAUAAUAAUGAAAUAAACACGUGCACAAUUAAAAUGGCAACCCUGUAUAAUCACCUAAUCAAUCAUGUCAUGCCGUGCUAAGCAGUUGCGUGUAGUGACUCCGGGCAGGAGAAUGAACACGUAUCACCGAACUGUGGGAACGGAAGACCACCAGCUAGAAACAAAACAAAUGCUAAAAAAAAAGAGCUAGAAACAAAACAAAACAUAAAACGGACGCGACCGCGCCUGCGGCUUUUUACCGAAAAGGAAGGCGAUAAGCACAAAAAAACGAACGCGAAAGCCAACACCAAAAGGCAACCAGGAAAACCCACCGGCUUUUCCUGCCCAGCACCGCCUCCCUUCCCUCUCCCCCCCUCGUCGCCUCGCGCACGCACCCUCCCAGUCCCCAGUUCGUGAACUCCCCCACCGCCCCGUCUCGCCGCUCGCGCCUCACGCCUCCCUCGUGCCCGCGCCACGCCCACGCCCCGCAGGAGCACACGGCACCGCCGGCGGCCGGCAUUGCGGAGUCCCCGCGACCCCCGGCCGAGGUAACGCAUGAUCCUCUCCUCUCCUCCCCGCUUCUCCCUCCCUGCUCGCUACUGCUGCGGCGCUACGAGGCCUGCGAUAGACGCUGCGGUGUGGCCUUGCGUCGUGUGUGCUCGUGGUGGUGGCGUUGUUCUGCUACCGAGUUCUCUCGCCUGGUUCGUUCUCGUUGCAUCCUCCCACUUGUUGGUGUGCUCUGCGCGCUUGUUCAUGUCCCGGGCAGCGACGGAGUGCGGGGAGGACGAUGCGGUGACAUGGCACUGCCGCGGCGUGGAAUUCUGCCGUUGCAGUCGUCCGGUGGCGCCACCGUCGGGCUUGAUCCGGAUAAAAUCGUUGGGAGAGGAGUAAAGGGUUCAGACGAUUUGGGCGCUGUUUGUACUUUGUAGCCUUUUGUUUCUGAUGAUUCUGUUCUUCGUGGUCUAAGGUUUUUUUGGUUUAAUUCUUUUGCGAUUUUUUGGCUUGGGAAAAAGGCGUUCCUUUUGCUCCUCCAAAUUCCGCCCCCAUUUCGCUCCCCGUGCCGUGGCUUCAAUUCCUUCGUGCUGUCUCGGGCUACGUGCUAGCAGUGGUAGUACUGGCUGUUGUUUUAAUGGAAAUGCUGCUAUUGAAUGCGACUAUUUAAUUGUACUUGGUUGGUCAGCACACCCACACUCCCCACACGGACCCAUAAACAAAUCACAACCCAAAUGAUGGCCUAAAUCAGAGGGGAAGAAACAUACCCCAGCCGUCAUGCCAGCAGUAGUUUGAGUAUCUAAGAACAGGUCAUAAAUUAGUGGGUUUAUGGGAUUAACAGUUCAUUAACCGGGUCAAGACAAAAAAAAGUCCGUGUCUCACUUGCAAGUUUCAGAUAGCCCCCUGAAAUUUGUAGCCACUGUGGCUAUUUACAUUGUCUGUUGAUCUGGUCCAAUUCUGUUGCUGGCUUCUUCCUGUCAGUGGGGACUGGGGAGGUGGGUUAAGAGAUUCUUGUGGGGUUGUCAUGGGGUUGAGUUUGCGGAGAUUCUUGUGGGGUUUGCUAUGCUUGCCUUCAUUUAAUCUGCAGCGGCGCAGGAGUAAAUGACAUGCCAGUGUCUAGUGUUUUGUCCACUUGAAUUUUGCGGGUGCCUAGUCACUUGUGUUGGAGCUUGCGGGUGAGGUGAGAUUUCAGGCAAGAUGUUGUGUGUGGGGGUAGGCUUUCCUGUGCCCUGGAGUUUGGAGAGUGUGGUUGCUUCUUCCGAGCUUCUGUGGGGGGAGGCGGCAUGCCUGUCCGCCUUUAUGAUGAUCGGUUGGUUUUGUUUCAUCUGAUUAGAUGUAAAGCUGUAGCACGCUGGAUUUUGGUGUGAGAGAUGGUGUAGUGACCCUUUCUUUUCUUGUACUACUAAAAAAUAGUCGAGGGCUUAUGAUGGCUGCAUUCAUGGGCUUCUUGUGCCGGUCUGCCCUGGUUCUUUGGCUUUAGGGAGGGGUUUCCGUAACUUCUGCUCUUAUUCGUGCUGAUCUGAGAUAGGGAUAGACAUGAUGAUGUUGUGCCUUUUGGGGGCCUAGCAUGGUACUACUGCUCUGUAUCUUUGUGGGAGAGAGGGUGUUAAACACAGCGCCAUGGGCAUUUUCCAAAGCGUCUUGACUAGAUUUUCAUACUCUGAAUUUCUAAGGGAGAUUGAUAUUUAUUUUGGAACUUUCCGCUUAUACUGUGUGAUGCUCUGAUUGAAGUAGGAUGGGCGUAUUUGCUACCUGGUACCUUGAGCUGAUGAUUAUAUGAAGCUGAGUGUUCCAUCCUUUUGUUUUCUUCAGGGCAUGUUUCUGGGAGAUCAUAACGCCCUAGAUUGAUUAUGGUUCGUCUGUUGCACUUCUUUGGUAACUUGUGAGAACAGGAGAAAAGAGCCAUAGUUCCAAAGGUAAUUUGGUUAGUUCCUUCUUUUGAGCUGUAUGCUGGUAGUUGUGGAGUUGUCAUUGUGUUAUGCACCUGCAGUGAUUGAUAGGACUCUGUUUGAUGUCUAUCAUUACCUCUAUUAUUUUAAGAGGAAGCUAUCAAAUGUAAUGACUUUCAACCAAGGCUAACCAUCAUAUAUUAAGUAUAUUGACAUGGCUUUGACCUUUUUCGUCCAGGAUGUGUAUUAAGUAUACAUUGUCGCUUGGUUGUUGCUCCUUCUCUUCUGCGCCACUUGAAGGAAGAAGACUGUGAAAUUAAAAGGUAUUGACAUGCAAUUACUGUUCCAUUUUGUCCAAAAGUGCAUUCAGCUGUCUUUCAGUCUUGCAAAUUUGCAAACAUAGCUAGGGAAUUGCAUACAUACAGUUCUGGCAUUACAAAAAUUAGGCAUUAUAUGUUCAAAUUCUAAACUCUGAGAAGGAGAUAAACAAACAUAUUAUUAAUGGUCUCCUAGUCGUUUUAAUUUGUCUGUGCUCUUCUUUUAUGACCAACAUAAGAAGAAAUCUUAAUGUUUUGUUGGAGGCUUUUGUUCUUGGACAUAAACUAGCUAUUCGUUUUAGGAUCUGGCUGGUCCAAAACAUUUGAAAACCAGAUUGCCUCUUUAUUUGACUUCUUUUGUAUGUUGAGGAAAAGGUCUAGAACAUAUUAUGUCCUGCAGCUCAUGUUACAUUGACAUGAUAAAAUUAUGCUAGACUUCUGUUUGGAUCUUUUGCAGUAAUAACUUGACUAUUUUCUUCUUGCAGAUUACAAUCAAAACUGUUGGCAAUGGGAUCCCAUGGUUUCUUCACCUUGAUCCUACUUGUAUGUUUUAUCUCAAGCUCUGCCCUUGCUGGACAUAGUGAUAUAAGUACCUUGGUCAACCUGAGGGACGCGAUCACUGAAGGGAAAGGAUUUCUCAGUAACUGGUUUGAUUCAGAAACACCCCCAUGCAGCUGGUCAGGUAUAACUUGUGUGGGGCAUGCUGUUGUGAAAAUAGACUUAUCCUCUGUGGCAAUUUAUGCCCCAUUCCCGUCAUGCGUCGGGUCGUUCCAAUCACUUGUUCAUCUCAACUUCAGCGGUUGUGGGUUUUCUGGUGAGCUUCCAGAUGCUUGGGGGAACUUGCACCAUCUCCGGUACCUUGAUUUGAGUCAUAACCAGCUUACGGGGGCCCUUCCUGUCUCAUUAUAUGGACUGAGUAGGUUGGAAGAACUGAAGCUUGACAAUAAUUUCUUUUCUGGGCAAUUGAGUCCUGCAAUUGCACAGCUUCAGUACCUUAAGAAGCUAUCUGUAUCCAUGAAUUCCAUCUCUGGUACCCUUCCUCCAGAGCUGGGCAGUCUGCAGAAUCUGGAGUUCCUGGACCUUCACAUGAAUGCAUUCAAUGGGUCAAUACCAGCAUCUUUGGGUAAUUUGUCUCGGCUGUUGCACCUUGAUGCAAGCCAGAAUAAUCUUGGUGGGUCAAUAUUCCCAGGAAUAACUGCAAUGGCAAACCUUGUGACAGUCGAUCUCUCUUCAAAUGCCUUGGUGGGGCCACUACCUAGGGAGAUUGGUCAGCUACAGAAUCUUCAAUUGUUAAUAUUGGGACAUAAUGGUUUCAGUGGAAGCAUUCCAGAAGAGAUUGGUGAACUAAAGCUGCUGGAAGAGCUUAUACUCCCCGGAUGCAAACUCACAGGUAUCCCUUGGACAGUUGGUGGUCUCAGAAGUUUAAAGCUACUCGAUAUAUCAGGGAAUAAUUUUGAUACUGAACUCCCAGCAUCUAUUGGCAAUCUGGGAAAUCUGUCUCGUCUACUUGCAAAGGGUGCUGGGCUCAGUGGGAAUAUUCCGAGAGCACUUGGUAGCUGCAAGAAGCUUGUGCAUGUUGAUCUGUCUACCAACUCCUUUUCUGGCUCUAUACCUGAAGAACUUGCAGGUUUAGAAGCCAUUGCCAAUUUUAAUGUGGGACAGAACAAUCUGUCUGGUCAGAUUCCAGAAUGGAUCCGGAACUGGGUGAAUCUUCGCUCCAUAUCGCUGGGGCAGAACAUGUUUUAUGGACCCCUGCCAGUGCUGCCAUUGCAGCAUCUGGUUGCUUUCUCUGCGGAAACCAACAUGCUCUCUGGUUCUAUUCCUGUUGAGAUAUGCAAGGGCAAAUCGCUGCAGUCGCUGAUAUUGCACAAUAAUAAUCUGACUGGGAAUAUCAUGGAGGCAUUUAAAGAGUGCAAGAAACUUACAGAACUUAACCUGCAAGGAAACCAUCUUCAUGGUGAGAUACCCCAGUACUUGUCUGAGCUACCACUAGUAAGUGUGGAAUUGUCCCAAAAUAACUUAACAGGGAAGCUGCCUGAAAGUUUGUGGGAAUCAUCGACUAUUCUGGAGAUCGCACUCAGCUACAAUCAGCUUACUGGCCCUAUACCUGAAAGCAUAGGUAGGCUCUCCAGUUUGCAGAGGCUACAAAUCGACAGUAACUACCUGGAAGGAUCUAUCCCGCGGUCAAUCGGCGCUCUAAGAAAUCUGACAACUCUCUCUUUACAUGGCAAUAGGCUGUCUGGGAACAUUCCACUAGAGCUCUUCAACUGCACAAACCUUGUUACCCUGGACCUGAGCUCUAACAAUCUGUCUGGCCACAUCCCAAGGGCCAUAUCUCAGUUGACAUUUCUUAACACCCUGAAUUUGUCUAGUAACCAGCUGUCUGGUGCUAUACCUGCUGAGAUCUGUGUCGGAUUUGGGAAUGCAGCUCACCCCGACUCGGAGUUUACUCAGCAUCACGGCUUGCUUGAUCUUUCAUACAACCGAUUGACCAGUCAUAUCCCAUCAGCGAUCAAGAACUGUGCUAUGGUUACAGUGCUAAACCUGCAGGGAAAUAUGCUGAGUGGCACCAUUCCACCAGAGCUUGGUGAACUGGCAAAUGUUACAGCCAUCUAUCUUUCUGAUAACACAUUAGUUGGCUCGAUGCUUCCCUGGUCUGCACCAUUACUACAACUGCAAGGCCUUUUUGUCUCUAAUAACCACUUAGAUGGCUACAUUCCUACUAAUAUUGACCAAAUACUUCCCAACAUUGCUAAGCUAGAUUUAUCAAGUAAUGCAUUUACUGGGACUCUACCCGAGUCUUUACUGUGCGUCGAUGACCUGACCUAUCUGGAUGUUAGUAAUAACAGCCUCUCUGGACAAAUCCCAUUCUCAUGUCCUAAAGAAAAGGAAUCCUCAAGCUCACUGAUAUUCUUCAACGGAAGCAAUAACCAUUUCUCAGGGAACUUAGAUGAGUCUAUUUCAAACUUCACAAAACUGUCUUCUCUCGAUAUCCACAACAAUAGCCUCACUGGAAGUUUGCCUUUUUCACUUUCUGGUCUCAGUUAUUUGAACUAUCUUGACCUCUCAAGCAACAACUUCCAUGGCGCCAUCCCUUGUGGCAUCUGCAAUAUAUUUGGCCUCACAUUUGCCAACUUCUCUGGUAAUCACAUUGGCAUGCACACCUUAGCAGAUUGUGCUGCAGAAGGCAUUUGUACUGGAAAUGGUUUUGAUCAUAAGAUGCUUCAUCCAUCUGAUCGAAGAGUUCCAAGAGGAGCAAUUGUUUGUGUUAGUAUAAUCAUUGCCAUUGUUGUCUUAGUGGUUCUGGUGGUUCUUGUGAGAUGGAAGCUAUUGAGAAACAGACCAUUGGCUCUUGUACCUGCCAGCAAGGCCAAGGCUACUGUUGAACCAACCUCAAGUGAUGAACUCCUAGGGAAGAAGUUUCGAGAACCCCUGAGUAUCAAUCUUGCAACAUUUGAACAUGCACUUUUGAGGGUCACUGCAGAUGACAUUCUGAGAGCCACAGAGAAUUUCAGUAAGGUGCACAUCAUAGGGGAUGGUGGGUUUGGCACUGUCUACAGGGCAGCACUUCCUGAAGGCCGGAGAGUCGCAAUCAAGAGGCUUCAUGGUGGUCAUCAGUUCCAAGGUGAUCGUGAGUUCCUGGCUGAAAUGGAGACAAUUGGAAAGGUGAAACAUCCUAACCUUGUUCCUCUACUUGGCUACUGUGUGUGUGGUGAUGAAAGGUUCUUGAUAUAUGAGUACAUGGAGAAUGGGAGUCUUGAGAUGUGGCUCAGGAACCGGGCUGAUGCCAUCGAAGCACUUGGAUGGCCAGACCGCCUGAAGAUCUGUCUCGGUUCUGCCCGUGGGCUUUCGUUCCUCCACCAUGGCUUCGUGCCCCAUAUCAUCCACCGUGACAUGAAGUCAAGCAACAUUCUAUUGGAUGAGAACUUUGAGCCGAGGGUCUCUGACUUUGGCCUUGCAAGGAUAAUCAGCGCAUGCGAGACUCAUGUCAGCACUGACAUCGCUGGUACGUUUGGCUACAUACCUCCAGAGUACGGCAUGACAAUGAAAUCCUCUACCAAAGGUGAUGUCUACAGCUUUGGUGUUGUCAUGCUGGAGCUUCUCACUGGACGCCCACCUACAGGGCAAGAGGAGGGGGAAGGGGGUGGAAACCUAGUUGGCUGGGUGCGGUGGAUGAUUGCACAUGGUAAGGAGCAUGAACUGUUUGAUCCUUGCUUGCCAAUAUCAAGCUUGUGGCGGGAACAGAUGGCCUGUGUGCUUGCCAUUGCCCGGGACUGCACUGCUGACGAGCCAUGGAAGAGGCCAACCAUGCUGGAGGUGGUGAAGGGCCUCAAGAUGGCCCAGACAAUGGAAUGUGGACCUCCGGUGGUGACAAUUACUAGGGACGUGUAAUGCCGGAGGUGAAUGUUUUCUUGCUAUUGAUGUAAUAAUGUAAGUUCCUUGUAGCUGUAGAGUGAGCUGUCCGGUGGCUGUAAUGAGAGAAACUAAUGCUGCUCAUGUUCAGGCUGUAGUUACUCAUGUAACCUUUUAAUCUGGCCCCAGUCAGUUUCUUAUCUUGUAUUCAAUUGGCAGGGUGUGUUUCAUAAGCUCAGAAGCUGCAGUGGCUAAGUUUUUCGUUUUCCCUGUGUUGAAUUACUUAAUAGAAUUGACAGUACUAGAUUCAUCCUUAUUUCUGUCAGAUCCAGCUCCUGUUUUUUUUUCCUCCAUUCUACUUUGUUGCCGUUUGUGCCGCUGCUUUGACUGAAAGUACUUCUUGCUGUUUUACCUGUAUAUACUUGAGUGCUAGGUCAUUUUGACUUUAUUAGAUUCAUAGAUUUUGCUAUCUACUGGGAUAUACCCUAUGUCAAGAUGCAUAAUAAUAUCUAUGCAUCUAUAUGCAUCUUGAAAAGCCAAAACGGCCUAUAAUUUGGAACGGAGGGAGUAUUACAAAACUGCUAGCACUAUGCUCAUAGUCCUUGCUCAGAUUCAGCUCAUGCUGUUUCGUCCUGAUUUCCCAGGUAUUGUUACUGGUGCUACUGCUGUGUAGGAAUUAUUAUGCAACUUUGCCGGGCUGAAGCAAAAAAAUGAUUUAAGGACCCAGGGAGAUGAGAAUGAAGCACCGAAGCGGAUGGACAAGUAGAGCACUAGCAGCGAAGUGAGGAAGUGCUCUUGUCUGUAUUCAAUCUGGCUCGGCGUCUGGGACCUCUACAUUCCCUGAAUCAUGCAGACCACUCCACUGACUGCUGUGGUAUUGGCAGGCGAAGAGAAGUGAAUGUCCUCAAGGCUUCAGGGAGUCGCUGGGACAGCUGGGUGAUGCAGCAAUGGAUAUUUGAGCAUUCAGAUAGCUCGGAUCAUGACUCCAGAGUCAUGACUGACUGGAGGGUCGAGCUUGAUAUUCAGGUGGCUCCGGUAGCUUACGGGUUGGAGCAGACCUGGAGAUGCAAUCUUACAUUGCGGCAGCUUAUAUGCUUAUUCACCUGGCGAAAAUUGCAGCAUCUGAUGAUGUAUCCUGAAAGCCAAAAAGGAAAGGGGACAAAUAAAGGCAAAACAAGGGCAAAUUCGGGACAGGUCAAAUUCUGCGGAGGCAAAGCAAGGCGGCCGAAACACAGCCGAUUGCAUCAGUGGGCUGGAAUCAUUUAGGCCCAAUUAAAACCCACUGCAAAUCCACUAGAGUCAGGCAAGCGCUCGCUGUGCUGCAGCUGCUGUAAGAAGAUCCGCUCCCGCUCAAAAUAAUUUUUUUUUUGUGCUCGGUGCAUGUUGAACUCAACUAAUAAAACAAGAAACGGGUCAACAGGCAGGUGAUAGAUUAAUAAUCUGUAAACAAAUGCCGUAGACAAAGCAAGCAAUUAGUUCCGCAGGCGCGCUGGUAAAACACACACGGCGACCAACUAAACAAAGAGACGAGCGGCAGCUUUGUUGCGUAUCCAUGUGCGCAUUGCGGAAGCAGACGGCAUCGACCUGAGGUGGCAGCAAGACCAAGCGGUAGCCAACAAACGCCCGUGCCGGGGACUCAGUUUUUUUCAGAACAGGAACCGAUGCCGCCGGCUCGAACAACAGACAAGAGCGUGGAGCUGCAAGUAGCCAACUCGGUAGCAGCUGGGACUGAUUGAGCUUGACUGCUUGAGUGCCACAGGAGGAGGUAGGCAGGUCACCAAACCCUGAAAGGCCUGAAACCCAUUGCCUACUGCUGCUGCUGAUUGCGGCCACGCACGCCCACUGUUCCGUGGGACCCAGCGGUAUCGUUAUCGUUCGUUUCGCCUCGGCAAACAAAACCGCUGAUCAGUGGGAGCAAGUGGUAAUGGUAACUGGUAUCGAUAUCGUACGAUCGCAUGAGACCCCAACGGCUGAGAUGCACGCAUCUGCAGCGACGGACGACGCUACAGCCCCGUUCCGUACGAACAGGGCACAGCCACAGCCCACAGGUACGCGUGUGAUCCUACACGUGACCGGUCGUAAAUGAAACGCGUCUGAAACCGGGUCACAUGACGUUGGACGCGCGCGCGCGAGCGCUGGCCACCACCACUCCCCGUCGCGGCCUCGCCCAUGGCCCGUUGCCUACGCGAAAACCCCCGUCACCCUGCCCCCGGAUCGCGUAGCAUCUGCCCUGACCCCCCGGCCCCGAGCGUAGCAGUGGAGUGUACUCCACACAAGUCCGUGUCUGAUCGUAUCGGCCGGCCGGCCGGCCGCCGGCCUAAUUAAUCGGCCACCAAACAAACCCUUCCUUCCUGGGGCUGAGCGUGAGCGCGGGGCCUGAUCGGGAGGAGGGGGACGGCGAGUUAAGAGCGGCCGUCGAGGGUCACGCAGCGCCAGCGCGGACGGACGACGGCGCGUCCGGCGAUGGGGUUUUAUUGCUGUCACGGACACGUACGCCUCCGCAGCUCCGCUGCCCCUACGGGCGCGCGGUUUCCGUUGCGGACCAAAUCCAGCAAGUACGGGACAGCAGCGCAUUGGGGGGACGGGAGAGUACGGGACCAUGGAAAUUGAACAGUGCCUGUCGCCCGGACCUGCUUGGCAGUGAUGUCGAAAAAAUACCGAAAUUUACAGAUUCUCCGUGCAAGCAUUGGUCGGUAACUUUGUGCAAGGAAAACUGUGAGAUUCUAAAUUGGGAUCUGCUCUGCUCGCCGGAAUGAGGACGGAGGAAGACGGCUUUGAUUAGUUGAGGCGUCCCAAUCGGGUCACGUGAACCGGAAGCGUCCAAGCCAACCAGAGCGAAGGCGGUGGUAUGGCAGCACGCCAUGCAUUUGGAAGGUUUUGGGCCUGUGAGCGCGACGGGCACGACGCUGCCGCAGAUGUCCGGGAGGAGCCAGCACUACUGGCGGGGGCAGACUGUUCUAUCCUAUCCAGUUUUCGCGUCAGAUGCCAAGCUCAAGCCACGGACAGUUCGGAUUUAUAAGCUGGCUGAAAAGUUGAAACGCCUGAUUUGUUGUGAGAGAAAAACACUGUUCAGUGACUGAUAAGCUGGCUGAAUAAGCUGAAGCGAACAGACCCAAGCCACCCACCCUAGGUUGCGAUCACUGGCAGUUUGUGACCACGAUGUGACCUCUGGGGUUUGCGCUUGUAGCGGCGAGCACUGGAACGUGUGCUUCGGCAUGAUCCUACAUGCAUGGUCAGGUCACGGGAGUGGACUUCAGAUGCUGCAAUGCUGCGUGAUGGGUACAACUACAAGGCAUAAAAUUGGAGUGGUAAAACUCACUGGAAAGCUCGUGAAUAGACAUCCUGUGCAGUACACGAACUUGUACGAGCGGACAAAUCGCCAUGGGAGUUCUUCUAGCACUAGCACACACAGAGGAGGAAUAUUUCAAAUUUGGAUUGAGCCAUGAGCCUGGAGAAGUCACCCCUCGAGAUCAGAAAACCAGAUUCCACACCCCAACCGCAAGCCAGAAGCCGGAACACGCACUCGCUCCCAUAAACGGCAUGCAUGCAUGGGCGCCGGCGCCCAGAGGAUAAACAACGCCGCUGCUCCUUGGAGCUCACGCCACAUGAUCCGAACCGAGCACACCACCACGACGACCACACCUGGUACGUACAUCCCCUGACGCACUGACUGACCCCUGGCCUCGUGACCGCGGAACAGUGGCCGUGCACGCGCGCAUUCACGACCCCUCACAUGGACGAAGCCAUCGACGCGGCCGGGUGAAAGGGACCCGAGCCGAGCCGAGCGAGGCCAGGCCGGCAGCGGCAGCGCACGGCCGGCCGGCGCCGUGGACGCAAACCGCCGAGACGCGCGCGGCCGCGGAUCACAUGCGCGCGGCGCGCCCGAACCCGCGCCGCAACAGUCGGCUCGGCAGCCUAGCCCAACCAAACCCAACCACCGAGGCAGACCACAGAGUGAGGGCAAUCGGACAAACAAUAAACCCAUGGAGUACCGUGUAAAGCGAACAAUUAAGAUUUUUUCGUAAUGGCGGUAGUAAGGAACAGGAGGAGAAGUGAAGGCAACAAGUAGCAAGCCAACAAGAAAAAUCCCCGGGGAAAAAGUGGGCUACGUACAGCGCACCAGCAGCAAUGGCCAAAGCACAAGCAAACGAAGCAUGCACCAACUCCGACGACACGGCGACGACCAGGACGGACGGAGAACGGGCGGGAGGAGGAGCCGAGGAAGGCAGCCACGGAGCCACGCACCCCAGGCGCUCCCUCGCUCGCUCGAGUCCGUCCCCACCCUGCUCCACAUGGGGACGGUCGGAGGUGGACGGCAGAAACGGACGACGGCCUGUGACGACUGACGAGCCGAGAGCGUACCAUGUACCUACUCCCCCUGGCUUGACGCGGCGCUAGCUGUGGCGCCGGUGGGGGCCGCUGGUGCCGGCGGCGGCCUGGGCGGCCAUGGCGAGCUCGAACUGCCGCAUGUCGAGCGCCGGCAGGGGCAGCGGGUACUGCUCCGGCGGCUGGUGCUGGUGCUGGGUCGCCGGCGCGGCGGCGGCCGAGGUGGACGCGGACGCGGACGAGGAGGAGGAGGAUGCCGGUGGUGGGGGCGGCGCGGCGCGGUUCCAGGAGCGGAGGCUGGUGGUGGUGCUGGUGCUGCCGUCCCAGCCGAUGUGCGCCACGUGCUUGACGUCCGUGGGGAGCCCGAUCACCAUCUCCCGUUCCUCCUCCUCAUCGUCCUCGUCGUACACCGCGAAGAUCUGGGACAGGUUCUUGAACCCGCGGAGGAGCCGCGCCACCAGCGACUCCCCCUUGCCCGCCGCCGCCGCCGCCGCCGGCCUCGCCGACGCGCCGCCCGGCACGACCCCGAACUCAAUCCCUGCUACAUGUCAAUCAAAUCGAGAAGCUUCAGUAACUUGCACGCGACACGCAUGGCGGCCAGGCGGCACGGGAAAGAAUCAAAGCUGCUUGUUCCUGUCAAUUGGCACAGCACGCACGUACCUUGCGGGUGGGGCUUCUUGCCGGCGUGGCGCGCGGUGUCGACGACGUCGACGCUGGAGUGGGAGCGGCAGCCGGAGGAGAAGGGGAUGGCGAUGAACCGUCGCGGCGGCUGGUCCUUGCUCAUGGCAGGCACUGCUGCUGGAUUAUCCACGUUUGGACAGCCGCGCGGCGCCGAACCCAACCGGAACUGCCCCUUGACCUGCUGACUGCUGUUGGAGCAAGCACCAAGCCGAGCAGAUAGCAGCAGCGGCAGCCGGGCAGGUAGUGAGCCUUUACUCCAGCGAAAAGGGCGCGUUAGGUCCGCACGCGCGCGCCGCAGCACUGGCCCCGCCGGCCACUGGUCGCCCGCCAAGUUCGUUGCAGCGCAGCGCAGCAGGGGAAGAGGCGAGCGGAGCGGAGGAGGGCAGCCGAAUACUAUAGGCGUAGUAGGCGUAGAAGUGGUGGCGCCACUACCAUGGCAUACAGCCUACUGCUCCUACUUCUAUAUUGACGUGGCCGCGGCGCGGCGCGGUGUGUGCCACUGCCAGUGCUCUCCUCUGUGGGGGUAGGAAAGAGACGGGGCGCGGCGGGGCCGGAGUGGUUUGCGGAUGGGGUUUGGGUUGGGUGGGUUGGUGUUGCUGUUGGGUUCGGUACCCACGCCACCCGAACCCCAACGCCUUUGCGCCGGGUGCAAUUGCGAUUUGCAAAUGCCGCAGCGGGCAGGUCGCGGCAGACAUGCGCACUGAUGGGCGGAUGGGCUUGGUUGGGUGUGCGCGCUGCAGCCGGAGCGAGCGAGCGGCCGCCCCGCCGGCGGCUCCGUUCGUGCGCCUGGGACGACCUGGACCAGCGCGAGCGCCCAACUGCUCCUCCACAGCCCUCGCAUCUCCUCUCUCUCAGUGGCCGCCGCUCCGUGCCGUGGAGAAGGGCAUCAGCAGAGUCUCCCGAAGUCUGAACCUUCGGUGGACCAAUGCGGCGUGGACGCUCCCGUGGUCCUGGCGGUGUGACGGUGUUCAUGUCACGUCCCGCGAUGUUUCCAGAUUCCAGCUUUGCCAGUGGGCCAUUGGCACUGGCUACGGGGAUGGAUUUCCGGUGUCGUUUUACCUUGCUAAUCGGCCUGCUCUUGUUUGUACUCGCGUACAUCAUUACUGAAUACACAAUGAAAGAAAGUCCCCGUAACAUGAGUGCGAUCGUAUUAUCCGUUUUGGGAGAAGUUCAGGUAUGAUAAAGACCUGCUACGCAAGCAAGCAGACGAAGUUUAGACGAGUUCCUUCGAUAGACAAGGGGAUACUGUUCAACGAAAGGAAGAAAGAAUAGUGGCUCAGUAUCUUUGCUUCUCUAUGGAAAAAAAAAUGAAAAAGGAAUACAAGACAACCAGGAUCCAGUAACAGUAAACUGUUGACUACCUCAUGGGCUUACCCACAGCGAGAUGGGCCGGAAAAUUAUGGACAAAAAAUUUGUGGAGCAGCAUGAAGCAACCGGGCGGGCUGUGACUUAACUUCUCUUGGGCCUAAUAUAACACUCAGAUCAAGGGAAGGGCCCAUUUGUUUCGAAUAGUGUGUGUGAUUGUGUGAAUACGCGCAUCUCUCAAUCUCUUCUCCUCCAUGUCACGUGGACUCUUUUACUCUGCCAUCCUGCCCCCAUUUCGGUGCCGUAUUUUUCUUCGGAAGAGUAUGCAUAAGUAUUGGGAUGAACUGGUGGUGUUAAGAAAAUGCACAACAGGGGUCGUGACUCGCGAGAAGACAAAAGCUGAGAAGAUUAGGCUUAGAAUUGGACCGUGAACAAAGUUUUGUUAUCAUCAGAUGGUGACAGGAACAAUUUGGCAGUUCAGUUCCAACAUCCAACCAAGAAAAAUAAGGACAGGGUAGAUGCUCAUGUGAUCAAACAAGCGGAUGCUUUGGAAUAGAACAGGUAUAAUCAUUGGCUCUUGGUGCUGGUUAGUCAAACCUAACAAUCACUCUGAAAUGUAGCUAUACUGCUAUACACGCAUUGCGUAAUGUCAUUUUUAUUGCAUCGUAACAUACUUGAACAAUCAAUCACAUCCCAAAAAAAAUUGUAUGAAGCAGCAAACACCAGUUUUGGUGUUCGCCAGCUCAAACAGCUUGAUCGAUCAUUUGAAUUCACCUAAGGGUUUCAACUUCACGGAUUCCAUAGUGGCGGCAAUUCACCGCUCACUUCCUCCUCUAAGAAGAAGCACAGGAAGAUCACGGUGAAGGUGAGGAUGCGAUGGACGUGAAGAGAGCCUAGAUAAUAUAUAAGGCAACGGCGGCGAGCUCGAUCCAUCAGAAGAUGUCGAGGAUCUCCUGGAUGAAUCCGUUGCAGAGCGGGCAGUUGCCGCGGCUGACCCAGAGCUCGCGGGAGCAGAGCCGGCAGAAGGUGUGGCCGCAGGGAAUGAAGGCCGCGCCCUUGUGCCGCACCAUGCACACGCAGCACACGUGCACCAUCUCCUCCUCCCGCCCCUCGCCGUCGUCGUCGUCGUCGUCGCCCUCGCCGUUCUUCCGCGCGCCGCCGCCGCCGCCCUCGUCGUCCUCGUCGUCGUCCCACUGGCUGUCCGACUGCUCCAGCAGCGCCAUCAGCGACAUCUGCGCCGCGGGCGCCUCCUCCUUGCCUUCCUCCUCCUCCUCCUCGUGUCCCUCAUCAUCCUCGUCAUCGUCAUCUUCCUCCUGGUCGUCGCCGCCACCGUCGUCGUGGCGUUCCUCGUCGAGAUCGCGGAAGUUGUACGUCGCGGGGCGCCUGGAGCUGGACCGGGAGGAGGCGGGGCCGACCCGGGUGGACGCGACGCGCGAGAACGUGGGCGUCGCGCGGAGCGAGGGCGCGCGGGAGAAGGUGCGGGAGAACGCCGCCGCCGCCUCGCCGGGGGAGUAGUUGUACCUGUUGCUGCGGCUGUUGGCGCUGCUGCUGUUGCUGAGGUCGCCGCUGUUCGUCGGGGCAUGGGCCGCGGGCGCGGGCGCGCGGGGCUUGGGCGGCGGCCAUGCGGCCGCCGCGCGGCGGAGCCGGAGCCGGUCACGGAGCGGCUUCCAGCCACUCGUCCCGCCGCCGCCCGCGGCGUCUCCGGCCGCGGGGCUCCCGCCGACGUCGGCGUCGUGGGGGAUCUUGAGGAAGUCGCGGAUGGCCGGGUCGGACGUGGACAACUGCUCGGAAAGCGUCAUGGUCCGCCGCAUCUCCGGCCGCCGGCCGUCCAUCUCUUCGCUAGGUCGCCGCAGCCGGUUGGUGCCUGGUUCGCGUCGAUCGGGGGUGUUGGAGGCGAGUCGAUAAGGUGGCGGUAGAUGCGGGGAGGUGGCGUCUUAUGGCCGGGUUGGAUCGCGCGCGAGGAGGGGGGGAAGGAGAGAAAGAGCCAGAGAGGCGUUGUAUUUGUACAGGGCAGGUUGGAGCGGGUCUCGCGGGCUUUUUAAACGGGGGCUAAACAAUUACCGCAACGUGCGGGGGAUGGGGCCACAAUUACCGUGCUGCCAUACUGCCAUGCAUGCGUAAUCGCCGGCCUUCCUUUUUUAGGGUAGGGGAGUUCUCAAGAUGUGUAGCACCAUGCACCAAUUUUGGGAGCGUCUGGGCUAUUUGCAGCACCAAUUUUAGGUGCCAUAUAGAUCUGGAAUUUCAAUUUUCGAGAUGAUUGAAACAUAUGUUGGGACUUGGGACUGACAAUAAACCAGAAACGCACCCAACUUUUGGUUUGUAGACACUCUCCUUGGUGAGAAUUUUGCAAAAAACAAAAAGAACUUGACAAUUUUUCUUUUGAUUAGACAGCAUGAGCUGGAAAUUAAAAUAGGCCUUUUCCUGAAUCUUACUUGGUUACAUAUUUCUGUUUGCCACCUGCCAAGCUAUGAAUUUGAAUCUACCCACAGUAAAUUUCUAGUGUUCAGAGUACAGAUGAUAAUCCGAAGAAGAGUAAGCAUUUCCUGAAAGUAAAUUUCUUGUGUUCACAGUAAAUUUCCUGAGGUGGCUACUUGAACGGAUUAUGCGCGGUGCGUCUAAGCAACGGCAUGUCGACAACGGGUACUGGUUUUUCGUUCUUUACUGUUAACCACGCAUAAGAGUACGCUGAACCUCGAAAUACGUCACAAUUUUUUAACCGCUUUGACAGUGACAGAAAAUAGUAGAAAAGAACAGAUUGUACCACCCUAGUUCUUUUACGAUUUCCUCAAUCCAAAACUUCGUCAAAAUUAAAUCUUCGUGCGUGCGUGAUUCUACCAUUGAGCGUAGCUGCUCAAGUUUAUGAACGUUUAGUGUCGCCGACUCAACGAUGAAGUCCAAACAGGGGAGAUGUACACUCGAAGCUCCCCAUUCGUCCUCCAUCAGAGCAUCAUGAUAGCUGUCCGGUUUGGUGUUUGGUUGGAGAAGGACGACGACGACGACGACGACGACGUCGCUGCUACCAGAUAACCUACCCGCAUUAUGUAUUGUAGGUGGCCGCGUACGUGCGCGUGUUUGGCGGUAUGUGCGGAAGCCUUCGAUUUUGAUAGGUCUGGCUGGCCAUUAGAAAAAAAGAAAGCUCAUAGACCCGCUCUGCACGCUGCCCUGCUGCUGCACUGACGCUAAUCAAUCCCUCUUGCAGAUUGCUAUUGCAACCACUCCAGUUGACCUCUCCACAGCUACUGAUCGGGUAAGGCUUAUUGGCACGGCCGGAUCUUCACUGUUGAGGUGUAAUUGGGGAGCGUGAAGGAGUUAGGUGAGGCGGCGUAGUCUGCAAGAGAAUUUUACUUGCCAUCUCCUGCUGCCCCGCAGUCUGAACUGAACGUCUGUCAGGUCCUUGCACAUGAUUUGCCAUCAAGGUAUUUUCAUUGCAACAUAGGGAAAUAGGGAAUCAUUAGCACCAAUGCACUAUACUGGUUCACGAGAGCGAUGAUCCGAGCGACAGUGUUCCAUGUGAGAUGAUGAUUGCAAUUUGGAGUGCCAAUAAUGCUCCGCGCUACGAAACAGAACAAGACCGUGCACUGGAGAAAUGCCAAAACCAGCAUUCGGAUUGGAUCCGGCGGAGCAGCAAAGUCUCGGCUGGGGCAGCCCUUGUUCUUCGCAGGAACGACACGAGGCGCCAUGAUGAGGAAGGAGGAGGGGACGGGUGGUUGGGCUGCCCCGGCACCUGUCGCUCCGCGCGCCCGGGAAACGCUGCGCCACCAACAAGCUGUGAGAGUCUCCACCGCCAGCCUGUGGCCGUUGUUGGCCGGGUUCGUUGCCUCCGCCUCCUCCUCCUCCCCGACGGCAACGGCGACGGCACGUGCGAGCUUGCUGUUAUGGGCCGGCAGGGAAGCCAGAUCCCGCCUCGUGUUCCCCCGUAGCGUAGAGCUUUGGCUGUCGUCUGUCUCAGUCUCGCAACCAAGUUGUUGUCAUAUCUUUAGAGGCGCCAACGACUUUGCUGCUGCCACUUAGUAUGGAUUGGGAAGAGAUCCGUCAGCGUCUGACGGAUGGGUGUUUAGUUGUUUGCAGAAAUAUAGUGAGUGGUAUUUCCGUGUCCAAACGGCAACAGGUGGCGGCUACUUCAACUGACAUGGCAGCACUGUCUUGCAGCUAACGGAAAUGUUGUGUGAUUUCAUCGCUAAUGUCCUGUUGCUAAGCCUUUGACAAUGGCUGACUAGAAGCCAAUAAGCCAUACGCUCUUUGAGCAAGAAAGGAAGAAAGAAAAAAUAGGAAAGGAAAAGGAAAAAAAAGGAGUGGUCACGUUUCAAAGAAAAGAAAGAGUGGUCGUAUCCAAAUGAAAUUGAAACAGGACAGUUCCAUUCAACCGGAACGCAGUGGCAGUAGACAUACGGGCGCGUCAAUCCGUGCCGCUGUCGCUCCCAGGUCCGGGCGUCCGGCCUUGCGCACGGCAUCGACGGCGAUUGGCGACCGUGCCGGGGCCCGGCUCGCCCGCGCGGCGCGGAGCUCAGGCGCGGGCUCCCGUUCGCCCGGGGCCUCCUGACGAGCCCUGCCCUUGGGCUCCGGCUCGUUCGUCAGGUGCAGUGUGCACCCAGCACCAGCAGCGUCGCUGUCACAAGGCCAGCAAAGGACACCAGCGCCGUUGCCGUGCCGUCGCCCGGACGACGAGCAACAGAUGGACCAGCUAUCGUUUCGCCAGGGAUCCGGCAUAAGAUCUUGGGCGCACUUGCGAAUCCUGACAGCCGCUCGCAAGCCAAGGACACAGGACGGGAGACGGGACCAUGGAUGCGUUUGCAAGGCUGCAGAUGUCUCAUGGACCGAGUGCCUCACACUGAUCCAAUCCGGACUCUUACCGAUGAGCAGUGACACAACAGCGGCGAGCAGCCUGUGGGCAGCCUUGUUACUCUCCUGCUAUGCUGGGAGUCCUUGCAUUGGACAGACAUGAACAUCUGAAGCCAUUUGAAGCCGUUGGACAUCACAUCUGAUCAAGUUUCAGACAUGAACAGAACAGCCCAAUCAACAGGAAACAGAAAGGAAGUUCAGUCUGUCAGGCUCACAUCUGGCAGAUUUUAUAUAAUAUCACCAAACCAAUAUGUCCAUACUUAUCAGGUUACAACCAACUAUUUAGCCUUUGAACAACAGAAAAACAAGCACACUUGCGACACCCCUAGUACAUGCGUACACACACGCUCUAUCUAAUACCUAUCCCAUAAAAAGAAACAGCAAGCACGGGCAAAUGCUCCCCAAGGGGGGAAAUGUUACAAUCACUCUACUAAGGCUAAGGGUAUGCAUUUCUUCGGCCACAGACCAAUUGGGGGCAAACCCAGAGCGCCAGAAAUGCAAAAUCAAAUCUCCUACUGGGCACCGUGCAUCGCAAUGGUCAGCUUAGCCUAUGGUUCUGGUGAUCGUGAUGCUUCCCUUCCCCCCCUCGGUGUGGAUCUUCGUCUUGUGGACCACGGGUUUCCCAGAGAUAGCCGAAGCUUGGUGCGAGUUUGGUUCCUCGUCGUUCUUGUGCUUGAUCUUGUAUGGCGGCGGGGCGUGGAUCUUCUCGUUUAUGUCAUUCAGCGUGAUGUGGCCAUUGAUACUGCAUGGCUUGAUAAGCUCGAAAGGGAAGGCCACUGACGUUCUCACCUUCUUUGCUCUGAUGAUAUUUCUUCCAGCUAUGGAACAGAUAAAAGUGAACGAGUUCAAUAGGCAGGAAGUACGACCGAUAUGCAAUGUUCUUGAAAAGGAAGAAUAAAAGCCACGGUGCUUUAAGCAAACUGUACAAGAGUUAGGCACACCUUUCAGAGGUGUAGGUCCAGCUUGAGCAGGGUUGUUGCGAACUAUGAUAGCUUGUUCACAAGGCAAAGAAUUCUGAUGCACUGAAAAUAAGCAUAGCAUUGAUUUUAUCAGCAACUUUGAAUCUGCUAUAAACGGCAAUACUGAAAACUCAUGAGAGGUUUGUACCAACCAGAGAUAUCGUUGACUUUUUCCACAGCAGUAGCAGGGCUAGUCCUGUUAAGGAGGUUCAGAAACCAUAAGAAGCAAUAUUGAAUCUUCAAUGGCAAUUAAUUAAACAACUAAUAAAGCCAAGCACUUAUGGAUCGGAUUACGUACAUUUCUUCAGCUGGGAGAUGAGGCUCGCUAUCUUGUGAGCAAUUAACUAACCAUUCUUCUGGCAGUUCAUCUGUCCCGUCAGAGUUCAAUAAACAGUUGGCACCUGGAGUUACCACUAUAAUUAGGAGGAACGGGAAAGAACGCACCCAGACUAAACACCAAAAGCCUAACAGAGAUGAUUGAACAUACCUUGAAAAUCCAUCACUUGCAGACUUUCUGAAAGCCCACCAUCAGUAAUAGGACAGGUCAUCUGGAAUAAGAAAGGCAUUAUACCAAAGAAGUCAAUACAACAUACCACUGCAUCUAAUAAUCAAAUUGACACAGUUGCUGACAAUAAAAACACUAUGAAGUUCACUUCAUUUUAAGAAGGGGGGCAUUGAUAGAUCCAUCAUAGAGCAUAUACCUCAAUAUUUUCAGGACAGAACUGCAGCAUGCGUCUGCGUUUAGCCUGUAAAGUUUCCUUCCCUUCUUCAAAGUCCUUGACGAUGAUAUCUACAUUCAAUCUUAACUGUUUCAGAAAAUGCAACUAAUAUUGAAGCACAUUUUCAGUGUUUGACAAAAAGGCCAGACGAAAUAUAAUUAGGAAAUACCAAGUGGAAUCCAUUGCUAUAAUUAGAUCACAUCCUACAUAAUUGCAUAUAGGACAAUUUUAACACGGGUUCGAAGUAAACAUGUGCAAGAGGGAAAUGACAACCAGCUGACUUUUUAUUUUAUUAGUCAUUCUGCUUUGUAUAUGUACACUUGUGGAGUUACAAGUUACUAUGGUUAUUACGAGGUAGCGUCAUUAACACAAUUUCAGAGAGCUGAGAGAAUUUGAUAACAUUUUUUUCUUGAACACAAUUAGAUAACAUAUUAACGUGCAACUGGUUGUAUGCAGACUGGUUCAGUACAGGUCAUUGGCAAUUGAAAACCAUUUAUGCAGAUAACUUGGUGAAAUUGUUCAGAAUAUACAUUUAAGGUGAUAACUGUUGAUUUCAUAACCAUGAGAACAAGACAUUACCUCCUAUAUCACAGAACUGAAAUUCAAAGUCUGUACAAUGUUUAAUUGGAGUUUGCUCAUCAAACAUGCUCCAAUCAUCACCCACACUGUUGCUUGCUUCAGCCCACAAACUGCUGCAGGGAUCUGCCAAAUCAGAAAUACAAGAUGCUCAGCUACUUUGGGUAGAUACAUAUUUAGGGCAGAAUGAGUGAUGCAAAGUGUGGGGCAAACCAGCUAACAGAUCUUUCUGCAGACAAUACUCCUGACUUUGCCAUCCCCAAAUCUCUCUGUAAGAAGUUCCACAAUGACAAGCGCAGUUAGAAGUGAGCAGUCAUGCACAGACUUGAAGAAAUUUUCAGAUCAAGGAGUGAAAGCACAGAGUAUAAAAGUCUGCCCAAUCUAAUGUUGUAUGAAGGGUAAAAAAUUUUACAGUGAAUGAUACUUAACACCUGAACUCAAUGUUAAACUUGGGGAAUAUAGCUUGUAAAAAUUUUCACAGUGAAAUUAUACUGAAAACCAGAACUCGAUGUAAACUUGGGGAAUAUAGCUCAUAAAUUUUUUUACAGAGUUAUAUUGAACACCUGAACUCAAUGCUAAACCUGGGGAAUAUAUAUAAUGAACUCUGCAGCUGUGCUAACUACUGACAUGAAAGGCAGAGACACGGUACAAUUUCCAUCUUGCGGACAAGUCAACAUUGCUAGUGUUUCUUGUGGAAUGCAAGAAUUUUCAGAAAUCUCAGACAGCAGACUUGUGCCGGGCAAAAGCUUGUGAUAAUAAUCUAAUAAUGCAACGGAAUAUAACAAGAAAACCAUAAAUCCUUGGAUAAGUAAGCAAAUGCAUAGAAAGUGCUAGCCAAAACAAGACCACACAGCACGAAAUUUCUGAUGAACACGACGAGCAGCAACCCGUAGCUAGGGUUUAACAGCAAAAGCCCAAAACACAAACAACUACUACUAACUGAGGCGCCGCAGACCACAAAAGGAGCCAACGCCACACCAAAAGCUUCGUACAAAAGAAAGGAAACCACGAUCCUUGGCCCCCAUAAUUAGAAGUCUUUACCCCUUCUCCCUUACAUCAUCAUCAUACGCUACAUAAAAAUCACCGAAAAAAGGCGCAGUUGGUAGCAACUUGCACUAGUACUGCACCCAACAUCCGUACCAAAGAGGGCGAAAUUGGGGAUCAACAAGGGCAGGAAUCGAAGCGGAAAACAGAAAUAAACCGCGGUUUCGUCCCCCAGCCCAGCCACCAAAACGCCGCCUUUUCCGCGCCAUCCCGCCGUACGACCCCGAAUCACGCGCGACAUGAUUAAGUAUAAGCCCGGAGAGAGGGAGAGCAGCUCACCCCUGAUCACCAAUGGCGCCGUCGAAAUCCAUCCCCGCUCUCCGAGGGCCACGGAUUGGAUCCAGGAUUCGGAGCAGCUAGCACUCCAUCCACAGACAACGAUAGCGACGAAAGGUUCUCCCUCCCUCCGCGCCAACGAGGGGGGGCAGGUGAGGAGGAGGAGGUGGAAGAAGAAGUGGGGGGUGGGCAGUGGGCAGUAGGCAAGGCAGUUUCAGCGCUCGCCGCUCUCCCUCCCUCUGCCUCCUGUCCCUUUCUCUCUCUAGACAAGUCCAAAAAACCGAUGCUUUUAUCUCCUCUCUCACUCUAUAUAUAAAUUUGUGUGUGUGUCUCUCUCUCCUCUCCCUCUCCAAUGCGACAGCACAGUCUGCAGCGCAGCGGCACGGAGCCCGACGGAAACACAACGAAAGCAGCAAGGCACUGAUUAUCUUAUGACUAAUCCCAGCAACCGGUCCCUCCCCCGCGACGCGAUGAUCCUGCCGCGGACUUGAUUAAUUUAACCACACCUAAUCGCGAUUAUUAAAAGGCGGUUACCGGAGCAUUUGCAGGAACGCCCCUCGCCACUCGCCAGGCCGUGAAAAUUGCCGAGGAAGCUGUUGACUGGGCUUUGGAAGCUUGCACGGGAAGGAAGCCAAAGCCCAAAGCAAAUCCACGGGGUUUUAUUUGGUAAUUCUGGGCAAUUACUGCUGGUAACAAGUUUCAUGUACAUCCAAAGCGGAAAGGGAGAAAAUGAAUCGAACGCUACUCCGUUUUAGUAAAUGUUUUAGUGAAUGCUACAACGUGUUAAAUAAUGAUGAAAUUUAUUUGUCACGGCAGAAAUGGCAUGAGCAACAGUAAAUGUGCAAGCGUCAGAGGUAGAUCGGGGCAUUAACUGCGGACCCUGAGAGCUCAUGUGAUCCGGAGCAUUGAAGACGACGCUGUUAGGUGGGCCCGCUGGAUCCAUCUAUUCCGUGGCCCACAUGUCGGGAGGAGCUCCCUCCCUAUCCCGUUGUGUUGUUACAGGCACAUGGAGGAGCGUUGUGGCGUGAACAAAGUUCGAAGAAUGUCAGCCCUCUCAUUCGUCAGGCUCUGAUUAAUCAAAGGUUAUCCGAAAUCGCUUUAAGAUUGGGGGCGAGAUAAAAAAAAAGGGAAGCAGUAAGCAGUCUUGGCCGUGCGUGAUGAGCUGGCGCGGAUAGAAAGCGUACUUGCAGUAGUAAAACCGCUAGUACUUGUGCAGGUCGGUCAAAAAACUGUUAAAAAGGUGGUGCGGGCGAUUGGGUUUGGAUCUUGAUCUCGGUUGUUAUUACUGAUGGGGUGACGGAUCACAGAUCUGUUUACCGGCGAGGUUCUUGACGGGACCAUACGGCCUCGUGGAUCGUGUGGCUACCUUUAAUUUUCUCACGAUUACACAUGUCGGAUCGCCGGAAGUAUUCGCGAGGCGUUCGCCGGAAGUACAGAGGAUCACCGUUGCCGUUUGCAAAGGAGAUCGGACGCCGUGCGUAGAGAUUAGAGGAGUAUACGAUAAAUUCUAAAUUCGGUGCAUAAAAAUUGGGAGUGUCUAUAGCUCACUUAGGUGAACAGAGACUCCUUACAUGAAUUUCUGAGCUAUUGGAUUUAAAACCAGCAGCUUAGAUCCCUCCUAUCUCUCCAUUAUCUCCCCUUCCCACCCUCUUCUUCAGCCUCCUCCCCCCUCUUCUUCUUCCUCCCCCACCCCUCCGCCGCCCGCCGCCCAGGCCCUCCCCUACCCCUCUGGCGGCGUGGAGCUCCGGCGAACCUUAGCCCACCCGCGCCGGUUGCCUCCUGCCCCUCCCGCCGCUGCCUCCUACCGUCACCGUCACCAUCGCCGCCCCCGCCGCCGUGCCUCGCCGCCCCCGCACCCACCACCUCCACUGAACCAGCCUAUUAAGGCCGGCGGUGAGCAACCCCACCCGGCAAUCCCCGAACCCCUAACCCUGAACCCCUAAUCUCGCUGGAAUCUCAUCGGAGUUGGAGAAGAAAGUAUUUACUACGAAAUCAAGGGAAAUUGGGAUUUCAAGUUCUUACUAUGAAAUCAGGGGUUGGGACGGAUAUCAUGAUUCCUGUACGAUGAGUUUUACAUACGGUGCAUAGAGAUUGGAACUUCAGUUCUUACGAAGUUCGAUGAAAUCAGGGGUUGGGACGGUUCCUUAUCCUCGUUCUGCACUCGCAAAUUCCGUGAAAUUUGUAUUCAUCCUACCCUUGCUAUUACGUUUUCCUUUCCUAAUACUAAUAUCCCGUAAUGGAUCGCAUCAGGUGUACCAUCAGGAGUACGUAUUAUAUCCCCAACUCUCCGCACUUACAGGAGUAGCCCAAUACAGACAAAAGUCAGGUGGCAGAUCUGCAGGCAAAAUAACAAACAAGCCAUGGUAUCCUCAUUGCCUGCUCACGGUAAUCACAGGCUUAUCAACAUCGAAAUCAUAACGGUGACACGUGCAGCUCACGAUCUCCAACACCUCAGCAACAGAAAACUAACCAUGACCCUCGCCUCCGUGCACAGGGCGUACAAAGAGGCUCCGCAGAACGGAUGGACGGCAAAGCAAAGCUCGCUUCGAGGAGGCAAAACAAAUCACCGGCGAUCAUUGGGAGUACACACAGGGCAAGAUAUAUUAGGGGAUAGAUAAACGAGUCACAACACGCCAGAGUAUCGAAUUUCUUACUAAACAAGACUACUGAUGUCCUUCAGCAAUGGCACACGGAGAGCCAGAGCCUCACAAGUUGCCUCUCGAGACUUCUUUAGUUUCACUACGGAGGAAGGUAGAGCGCACGGCAGCGCUGCAAAAGGAGGCCGCAACAGGGGGCUUCUAAGCGCUAGGCACGUAGCCUCCGGUCUGGUGAAGCAUGGCGUCGAUCUCGUCGCCGUCCUCCAUCUCCAGCUGAACAGUAGAGAAACAAAACAUCAGUUACGCAUUCAUCUCUGUGUUAAGGGAGUUACUGCGAGCGAGUUUGCAGGCACACGCACCUCAUCAGGGGUCUGCUCACCGCGAAGCCUGCGGCCAUCAAAAAGGAAUGCAAUGGCAUUCAUGUCCACAGACUGGCGGUCGCAAUAGGCAUUCAUCAGCUUCUUCAGCUGGGUGGACCUCUUGAUGCGGAAGAACACCUCGUUGCCAUCCUAUAAUACGAGAGUAAGAGACAUAAAAAACUUGGCAAUGAGAAAUCAGAACAUUGAAACCUAAAACAAUCCAAUCUGUAAUGUAAAAAUGCUGCAACAUCCAACCUAAUCUUGAUCAGUAAAGGGAGAAUGCAAUCUUAAUCUCCCAAAUCAAUUGAUCGUACUAAAAAACUUAGUUAAAUGCAAGUUUCAACUUUUUCAUAAGACACAUGCUUGGAUUUCUGGAUAAUGCUUGAAGGAUGUCUCAAGUUAAAAAAGAAUAGCCAAGCAGAAUACUUAUAUUAUAAAAAAAAGAGCUCCACGACACUAAGUAUAAACAAAGUUUUAAUUGCACAUGCUGAAUGCCAUCCAGCAAAACAACACAAACCCCAGACCGACUGAAACAGGUCAGUGUUGGAUAAAUGUUUCAAUUGCAUAGUAAAUUAAUAUAGUCCAGGUAAACUAACCAAUUAGCAAGCAUGCAAGCUGAUGUUCAUCAGGUAAACCACUUAUGAACAGGCAACUUCAACAAUUCUUGAAUGGAUUGCAACAAGGGUUUCAGUAACCCAAGACUGACAAAGCUACUAACACUUCAAGCAACCUGAGCCAAGCGUGGCAUAAAAAAACUAAUAUACAGGUGCAGAUAAUAAUAACUAGUAGCCCACAUCCCAUACAACAGUAUAAACAAGUAUGAUCCUAAAAACACAAAAAAAAUAUCCAGUGCUAAAUUUUCCCAAUCAUGUUUCAACUGUUACAAAUAUCUACAUAAACAUAACAGAAGAGGAUUCUGAUAGAGUUCGGAUUACAUAUUGACUAAUCAGUUGAGUUAUGCAUAUCAAAUCGAAUUAAACCACCUACACAAAUGAGUACUUCAAGAAUUAACAACUGCACAGAGGAUCCGAUCAACAGAGUUAAUAACGCUGUGAAGUGAAGACCGGGGUAAGGUAAAUUACACGUGAGACCAAGGCACCUAACUUUAUAGAGUUCUAAUUGCUGCUGUUAACAAACAUCUAUCAAAAUUUAAAGAUGAGCAGUGUGGCAUUGUCCCUAGUACAGAUAGACUAAUCAACAAUUGAUGCCCUGUUCAUACAGUUAUUAAUGCCAAUAGUAGCAAUCCAGUUAAAAAUGGGGUCAACACAAGUCAAUCUAAAACACAGAAGUGAUUGAUCGCGACUUGGGAAACUACAUGCAAGGCGCAAUCGCCGAGAAUCUAAUAGCACGGAGACUUGACACCCCUAUCAGUCCCCAAAUUCACGGAAACCCUAGUGAUCUAAGCAACCACUACAUCGCGAUGAUCGCCGCAAGGGCGAGACAGAGCCACCAAAAUCGACUUAACCCUAAACAAUCCUAAGCAACCGCUGCAUCGCGACGAUCGCCACAAGGGCGAAACAGAGGCUAUUCUUUCGAAGCCGAAGGAGAUUAGGGGGAACCGUCGCCGCGCAUACCUGUCCCUUAACCUUGAGGUUGAUGUGGGCGCCGCCCUCCGCCGGCUUCUUGUCCUCCUCUCCGUUUCCCGACAUCGUCGUCGAAGGGCUCCGAGCGCAGCGGCCGUCAGAUUUCGCGGCGGAUUCCGGCGAUCGAUUGGUGGCGGCCGGAGCGGGUUGCGGGUGGGGCUCUGUGAUGCGCCGGCGGACGCGGCUUCUUAUAAGACGGCUGCCCACAACCGGAUUUGAUACGAGGUUCACGUCCGGAUCCACCCUGCGCGGCCUCGUGUGGCCCGCGUGUACCUGGCCGCGUCCGCGCGCGAGGCUGUUCGGGAUCCGGAUCGGGUGCGGCCGCCGCGCGCCCGCCGGUUCGUGGGCCGGUGCGGUGCGUGGGUUGCACGCGGACGCGAACCGGGUCAAUGGUCCGUGUGGGGCCCGCCUCGCGCCUGUACAGGUGUGCGGCGUGGGCGGGGAGUUAUCCGGUUGGGUCUCGUCGCUUCGUCCUGCGGGGCGCGCGCGCGCGCAGGGGGGCGAAGCGUUCGGUGCGGCGAGACGUUUGCAUCUCUUGGUCGUGCGAUCGAACGGAUGCGUGGGGCGGAGUGGAUACGAAUACGAUACGACGCGGUUGCUCGUUAGAGGAGGAGGUUUAGAACGUCAAAGCGUAUGUGCGUACAUGAUUGUACCUGUGGCCACAUGUUUAGAAGAACACAAAUUAAAAUUGUUCACUUCAAAGGCACCACGGCAUACAAUUAUUAUCGCCUCCACAGCGGCCGCGCCUUCUUAAUAGCCGAAUUGGCUAGCUAAUUGUUUUUUUAAACUAGCUAAUUGCUUUUAUUGACAAGAGUCACCGGACAAGAAUCUCUUCUUUUUUACUCUAGCAAAGAAAGAAAAAAGAACGAUAUACCUAACACCUCUCUAUUUGUGUAUCAUGUAAUAUGGUCACCGCGCUGUAAAAACGAUAAGAUGUUGAAUAUAAAAACCAUAAAAAUAUAAUAAGAUUUAUUAAAAAAUAAAAUAGAGAUGGUGAAUUACAUGGAGAGUGACAAUUCUGCAUUGACAUAUAACGGUAAGAAGUUCUUUAUUUUUCUUCAUCUCGUCCCACUAUCUUUUCUCCAUAGAGGCAUCCAGCAGGCAACAGCUAAAGGGCGUUUACACUCUACCAAGUUAGUUCAUAUGGUGAUAAGCUGUAGAAAAAUAAGAUAGCUGGUGGCAGAUGCCUACUUGCAAAUGCUAGGUAAAAGGGAGGAGAAAUUGCAAGUGUUGUGGAUAGGGAAUGGGGAGGGGGGCUCAAGCCCCCAUGGCCUACUGAAACUUGUGAGAUUAACUCUUUUUUUUUAAAGUUGGUGAGUGACUAGGAUGAAAUAGUAAUGUCAUGAGUAAAAAUAUGUUGCUUGUUUCAUCCUCGUCGACGUUGCAACUUUAAGAAAACAUCAGUUUACAGUAAAUCAAAUACAUCAAUACAUCAGGUAAAAUUUAGCUUGCUAUGUUUAAAGUUAACAAAGUAGUAAAUUGUACACCUAGUGGACAUAGUAGAAUAUCAGGGGCCAUUCUCAUGUUAAAAAAAAACGAAGCUUCUUCCCGUUCUUCUUCAUCCCGCUCUCUUUUUUCACGGAGCUCCAAGCAUGAAGACUCUCGCAAUACUCUUCUUUAUCCGUAGAAAUAGGUAUGGUCAUGAUCUAUAUAAAAAAAGAUAAAUGGUGAAUGUCCAGUUGCACGUGGCAAUUCAUGUUGGCAAACCAUGGUAAAUGUGUGAAACUGCUAUAAAGCUUAGCUUAGGACCAUACAUCUGAACUCGUUGCCAGCAUUAAUGCGGACGAUUCUUAUGCUAAGUCGCUAAGAUAUUACCAUAUCAGAUAUAACUUUGUCAUCACCCAACACAAUGUGCAUAACUUUUAAACUCCAAUUUCUUAAAUGCUACUGGGAUCAGCCAUGUAACCACGGCAACGACACCGUGCGAUGCGCUUGUUGUACUCUUUGUUUCUUUUUAAAAAAACAAAUUACUCCCUUGAAAAUCCAGAUAACCCUCUAACUAUAUUUUGGUUCAAUUUACACCUAAACCAUGCUACUUGGUUCAACUUACCCUGUAAUACAAUUUAUCAUUUUUGUCUUUCCAAGUUGAAUUUGUCAUUUUUGUCUUUCAUAAAAAAAUUCAUGAUAUAUUUUUUAACACGCCUUCCGUGUUUACUAUUAUCUUGCAAAAUUUGAACGGAAGACUCCACUUCCGUGUUUACUAUUAUCUUGCAAAAUUUGAACGGAAGACUCCACUUCUGCAUGGAGAAAAAAAGAAAAAAUAUAUUUAGGGGCAAAUUGAAUCAAAUAAUAUAGUUUAGGGUAAACUGAAUAAAAAAUACUGUAGGGCUAUUCAAACUUUGAUAAUACUUAGUAAUUUGAAUUUUUCUCUCUCGCGUGAGUUGGAACUUGGUUAGCGUUCUCGACGAACAUGUUGGUUAGCGUUCUCCAAGGCCCACAGAUUGUGUGUUAAGAGAAAAAGCCCAUAUGCAGGUAGGAUUUGCGGCGGGCCGGGCUUACUGGCUGCCGCCGCCAACAAACGCAACUACGCAAGGCCGGACCCAGCAGGAUUUAGCGACGGACACGGAGUCCGAGUCCGACCGCGCGGCGACUCUUCUAGAUUUCCACCGUCCCACCAAAGGAAAGAGCACGCAUCAGCAAGCAGAGCAGAGGCAGCGACCAGAGUCCAGACCGUUCUCCGCGCCUCUCCCCGCCACGCCCACGCGCGCCGCACCCUUCCGAAGCAUCGUGCUCCUCCGCGAUGGGCUCGCCGCCUCUCACCGUGCACCUCCGCCGCUCGUCGUUUUCGUCGCCGCCGGGUGAUACCGUGGCGAUCGCGGUGGAUGGCAGCUCCGGGGUGGACCUGGCCCGUGUCGGCCUCGCGCUGGGGCUGGACCCCGCCUCCGUCCGCCCCAACGGCUACUUCCUCAGCCGCGGCCCUGGCCACGUCUGCUCCGCCGUCACGUGGCGCGCGCUCCUCGACUUCUUCGCCGCGCGUGGGCUGCCCACCGGCGCCGACGCCGCCGCGCCCGUCGCCGUGGACGGCAAGCCUGCCGCCCCUCCUGCCUCGACCUCAGGUGCGUUCAGCCGUUCAGGCCGCCCCCUCCUUGACGAACAGUCAAUCCUUGAUUGAUUAUUGAUACGAUUGCUUGGUCGAGAAAUAUGGAGCUAUGGAUGUUACAAUGUGCGGUCGGGGUUCUAGAAUCAAAAGGGAUGAUCGAUGCCCGUGAACUUUUGUCUUGUAUAGUAUUCAGGAUCGUUCAGAUUCUAUGCCUGGUUGAUUCUUAUGUGAUCUUGUCAGCUUCAUCCAUCAAUAACACCAACCGGGUUAAAGAAAUUUCUGCUACUUAGAUUUCAAACGGAUUGGGGAUUGAAUACCACCCAAGUUCCUGAAGUUACUGGACUGCUCUGAUGCUGCUAGCCUGCAAUGGUUGAGAUUGAGAUUCUAGGUUUUAUUCAUAAGCCUAUCAGUCCUGUCGAUUUUCUUUGUUAAAGUCGAUUCUGAAUUGACAAGUAACAUACACCUUGUUUUGGACAAUCUUAGGCCAGACUAGAAAAUACAAAAUAGCUGACACUCGUCUUGUUUCAGUUUUCAGUAUUGUUGAUUACACGUAGUUUCAGUUUCUUUUUGGCCUCAUGUAAUGGGGAUGCAGCAAUUCUUCGUUAGUUUUUAUCAAGUGUCACUUGUUGAUCUGCAAAUUGUUUUGUCAUACAUAUUGCAUAUUUGCACGAGCAUUUGAAUAUUAUGGCGUAUAAUGCACUAGGGUGGAGAUCAUGUCAGACAUUCACACAGUCGUUUAGUCUGAAUCCGUGACACUGUAUUAUCCAGAUCCUACAACACUCGUGUGCUCAAAGCGAAAAUCUGGACUGGAAGUAGAAAGGCGUCCCAAGAAGAGCAAGCCUCAAGAGAACAGACCGGCUCUUUCAAAACGAAGGGAUGAUGUCCUUAGCGAAGAAAUCGUCCUUAGUUUGAAGAGAAGACUCAGAUUGGACGACACAAUUCCAGCGAAGAAGAUUAAGCAAGUAGAGUACGGCUCAGGUGAGUGACAAUUGCCAAAUUCUCAAGUGUUGACUAACUAGUGAUUCAUAUUUAUAUUCCUAUACAAGCCAGAACAUAUUCUAAACCCUUUUCUGUUUGCUCCUGCAUUAUUCGGUGAUGAAUCGACGGAGCAGACACACAGCAGCCGGUUAAAUUCUCUUGCAGCUUUGUAAAUGCAAAUGGAAAGCGGCCACGGGAUGAGAUGAUCACCUCACUUUCAUGUAAAAGAGUUCGGUGAUGAUGGUGACAAAGGAGGCGCACAAGUCUUUGAAAACAGAAGUCACGCAUCGGUUCACUCGAGACAUCCUCUGGAGCUGAGGUAAAUUGACAUGCCCUGUUGUAUGUUCCGGAGGCCAUGUAGUCUUCAACGAAGAGCCAUGGAUUUUUGUUCGGAGGCAGCUGUUGUAUGCUGUAACUGGAAAAAUGUUACCUGUGAAUAUCACAAUGCUUGUUAUUAACUGGAAUUACCUUCAGAAUCCUAGCAGUAAGACGUGCAAGUCCAUUUGCUGCUUGACAGCAGCUACAGUGAUGUUUUAAGGCCACGUACUGCGGUACUGGCAUGCUUUAAGGCCAUAUAUGACGUGUCGUCAGAACUUGAAUUAUGUUAUUCAGUUACAGCAACUCCUCCAUCAGUUCUAUGACAUUUAAUAACAGGAUCGGUGUACGUGGUUUGAACAAAGCGAAAUACAUACAUCAAAUCUUCAGCAAACUCAAUUCUCGAAAAAAAAACUUAAGCAAACUCACAAUAAUGCAUAUUUGGAGCCAGAAUGCAAGUGCAUGUAAAAAUUAGUAAGUAGAUGAACACAUUCAAUGGAUGCACCAGCUUGUCAGUAAAACUUCAGGGUGAGUUCACUCAGGCCCAGAGAUCUCCUUCAGCACACAACUUGGUAAACCAAGAGCCAGAUUAGCCACAUUGAGUACGCGUCCACCACUAUAAAAACCUGACCUCUUGAUAUUUACAAUGAACAAACAAAUUAUCAAGCUACAACAAAGACAACAAAAGGAUUUUGCAAGACCGACAGAGUUUCCAACUGGUGGACAAAAUCUACAGCCUACACUCCUCUGAUUCGAGACCUUGCAUUGUGAAACCAAAAUGCCUAUUGCAAAAUGAGCCACUUGAAAUCCAGUAGAUGCAAGUUUUGACCUCAGUGGAAGGAUGAAACCCAUCCCGUUAUAUUAGGAAAAGUGGGAGUGCGUUGAGUUGGACAAUAUGCUUGUUGCUCCUGCUGAACUACGAAUAACUUAUCUUCCCUUAUUCAAUUGUGCCUUGAACUCCCAUCCAAUAAGUUUUUUUUCUAUGAAACUAUCCAAUAAGUUUUCCUUGCUUAAUUCUGAAUCUUUCCAUGCAUAGCUGACACAAAAGGGGUGAUCAUGCCAUUGCGACCAAGAUCUUUCAGGCCUCAAUUUCGUCACCAACAAAGAUCGAUUUUAGUUCUUUUGUGAAAUGAUUGAACCAGUCUGAAAGAGAAGCAAACGGCAGGAAACCAGUCAAGGCUGGGAUAAUAAACCCCAGCACAGCAUAAAAUACCCACCGACGAAUCCAAUAUGGGAACCAAACAACUUCCUUGCUGUGAGAUACUGAUAUAGGACCAUGAAGAACACGGUACAAGACAGAUGGAUAACAAUUUCCAAGUAGAUGGAUGGAACAAAGAACCUCCCAGCAUAUGAGCCAGAUGUUCCCAUCACCACCAAGAGUGUUGGCACAGAACCUUCCAGCAAUGCCGCACAUAACUCCCAAAAGAAUGAAGUUGAAAGUUACUGGCAUAUUUGAUCCAGACACCGCAGAACGCUGGAAUGCUAGCCAAGCAAUUGCCAUAAUCAUUACUAUGCCAAAGCCCAUACGUGUUGCUGCUAUGAAAUGACAUCUUAGGAAGAGCAACCCGGAAUUGAAAUUUGACACUGAAUUUGGCAUCCACCAUGAUUUAGGUCCCUGCAUGAGGGGCAAGAGAGAAAACCUUUCUGAUUACCACACAGGUUUGUUAUGAUUGUAUUGUUCAUUGACCACCGAUGCAAAAAAAAAAACAAAACAAGACAGAUGAUAAGCUUACCCUUGAAGUGGCUGAGCAUGCUGCUGUAAUAUCAGUUAUUCUUUGGUAUGAAUAGAUAUAAGUUCCAUAACCAAAGCAUACUGACAUGAUAAUCACUGCACUAACAAGAAAAUCUAUUAGUGUCCUCAGUAUUUGUGCAUGCCUUGUGUCCUGCAUCUGAGUCUUGAAUUUCUCCCCUCGGAAGGAAGCUUUCUGAAAUCCCAAGGAUAUUUUCAUCUUUUCUAACAUGUGUGAGUAGGAGUUAAGUUCUAGUUGAGACUGUUUUAAUUGCAAUUUUCUCAUGCUAAGGCCUAUCUCAAAUUCCUUGAGCUCGUUUGACCGUGUUUGCUCUUUUAAAGAUCUCUCAAAUGCAUUAAGGAUGCGCUGAUCAGCUUCAGGAGAAGAUAUGCCACGAGUGCGGCGAGUCAGCUGCUGAUUGCUUCCAGCAUAAAGAACAAGCCGACUUUCCACUGAGUUCAAAACAUCCUGCCUGAUUUCCUGUGGGGGAUUUUGUGGACCACCAGUGCUCAAAAUGCUUGCUGCUGCAGAGUCUUCAUGCUUAGAAGAACAUUGGGGAAUAGGACUUUGUUCAAAGACAGGCAUCUCAUUAACAAGAUGAAGCGUCGUCAGUGUGCUGCUGAAUGAUUUCUCAAAAUUUUUCAUAAAACUCUCUAACUUAUCACCAUAUAUCUAGACAAAAGGUAAGUGAAAGACAUCAGGAAUUUUAGUAAAAACUGAGCUGUGCGAUGAUAAAGGGAACUAUGCUUACAUUUCUCAAUGAUUCCUUCACAGCCGAUGUACAUAUCUGCAUCAAUAGUCCACACUCAGUUUCAGACUAAAUUUUUUUGUGGUUUUGUAUAUACUUUUGGUCGAAUUGUAGUACAAUAACCUUGGAAAGGAGUGCAGGUUGUAAUCUUUCCCCUGAAUGAUUCUUCACAUUGACAACCUGCAGUAAGUGAAGGCAUCUCCUUAUUGCCAUGAACCAAAAAAGACUUAACUAGUGCAUAAAAUAUGAUGUGAUCAUGCUAACAUCAAGCCGUAUGAUGGUGAAUUGGUGAAAUAUAGGAUGUGCUUUGUUUCACUCUGUGUGUAUUGAUGGUGUAGCUAUGCAUGUGAACUCAAGAGUGGAUGAACACAUGACACAUUCUGAGCAGAUAAUCACAACGAUAGUUCAUAGGAUGGGUAGGAGAAAAGGCAUCACAAAAAUUUUAGUGGUCACUAUGAAUUUGCAAUGUAAACAUGUUUGACUUUAAAUUGGUCAGCAAAUGUUGCGAUACUGAUUUUGUAAUACUACUUAUUGUGGGAAAGCACUAGGUCUGCAUAGCCCAUACAGGCAUAACAACAAUUAUGCUCCAUUUCUCUCCUCUUUGAACCCAUAACCAGUGAAUAUGAAAAUUGUCUCAGUUUUGGCACUUCCCUGCAUUCAUGUGACUGUUUUGAAGCAGAAAAGGGUAAUUCUCAUGAUCACUAACAUCGAAGAAGGCACAAGUCAUACAGAAGGGGAUAACAAUUAAUUCUGUCGACCUGGGUUGAUAUUCAACUCAUCCACUGGCCUAAAUAGGAAUCUAACUAAUAUCCAACAUCCUGAAACAAUGACAAGCAGGGGUCAGGGGAGCUAUCUGGCAACUAGCAAACGAACCCGAAUAGCUUCGAAUCCCAAGCUCACAGAAACGCGAAAAAAAUGACCAUUUCUCAGCCACCGGCCCCAAGCUGCCACAUCUCAUUUGACGCGGCAUUGCUCAGUACAAACUACUACAAUCACAACGAAAACGAAAUUGAUUUCGGUAGUUCACCAUGCGCCUCUUUCCGAUUUGUAGCUAUGCCUCGUCGGUAACAGCAUCGCAAUUAAGUACUACUAGAACGCUUGUGAAAGUAAAAAUAAGGACACAAACAUCGCUCGAGCCCUGACGAUCCCUGGAAAUGGAACGCACCUGCGCUAGGACGGCCGCGAACGACAUCCCCAGGGGCAGCGCGAGGUCGUCCUGCACGCCGGCGCCGCCCGCGCCCCUAGCGGGCAGGGUUGGUGGCUCCUGCCGCCUUCGUCGCAGCCGGAGCCGGACCCCCCUGCGCAGGCGGGUGGCCCGGGAGGCAGAGCCGCCCGCGGAGGAGGCCGACGCCGCCGAGGAAGACGCAGCGUCGGCGUCGGCGUCGGCGCCGGAGGGGUCGCCGGAUCGGUGGAGCCAGCCCGUGUCCAUCUCGGCGGGGGGCCUGCGGACGGAGCAGACCGCAGACGGUGACCUUGUGGGGGGGGGGUUGGCCGGUGGCCUUCUGGGGUGUUCCUUUCUUCAAGGCAGGCUCCUGUCCCGUGAUUCAGUUCCGUUUUGACUUCCUCCGUUGGGACGAGGACGGACGGGCGUGGGAACGGGAAAAGGGUGCGCCGAAGCGGCGUGGGAAAUUACCGCGGGCGGCCGAAUUAGCCGUUGUAGUAAAAUUCUUGGAAACUUAUUACAGCUCGGCAAUUUGAUUUUUUGAAUUUUUUUUAAGAUUUUGUCAUUUUGGGAAAGGCAAACGGCGGAGAAGGGGAACAGGCACCGCGCCGAGAGACGGAGAGGGUGGCGCAGGUCUUGUGUUGAUAUGGGCCUGCGCGUGCCUGAUCCGGCGGCCCAACGCUACUCCGGGCCCAGAUUGCGGGCAGCCGGCCGCGUCCAGACAUUAAAAUUUUCUACUGGUUAGAUCCAAAAGCGAAGAGCUACAAAAAAAAUUAUAGCAGUGGAGAUGCGGGGUAUCGAUCCCCGUACCUCUCGCAUGCUAAGCGAGCGCUCUACCAUCUGAGCUACAUCCCCAAUGAUGUCGGCACAAUUCAUAAAGUUAUUCUAGUACGUUUAUUAUAUAGAUUUUUCCUUUGGCCACCGACAUAACUACAACCUCGUAAUCUGUGUAUAAAAGUUGUCAUGCAAUGAAAGUAUGUAGAAUUAUGAUGUGGAUUGCGAGCUAAUCCAUGGGCCACAAUAUAUGGAAUUAUUGAGGGACAUACGGCAUUUGUGUGGCACCAUCUAUUUUAGCUUAUGAAGUAAUAAGAGAUGCCCUAAUCUCUUCGAUGAGUAGACCAAUGCUAGGAUCAAAGCAUAUCAUUACUGGUCACAACCACUUCCACUAGGGCCACCACAGGCGAUGUUAAAGCCAGGCCCGUCAACGUUCCCACCAAGAACGGCAGCGUUGCAGCACUUUGGGCACCGUGACUCCCAACCUAAUGGGCAUGUCUUUUUUGUCAAUCCUGUUGGCACCGAUCGCUAAAUAUGCCUUUAAUACGGCCGAUGCAUUAUUGCCUUGCGUACAGCCAUUGCCCAUAAACCAUAUUGGUGCGUGCAAAACCAUAUUGGUGUGUGCAAGUCAUGAGGUCUCGAGUUGUGCACCGCACCACCUACCUCAUUGAUAUAGCUCUCUGGAAAGAAGGUCGGGACCAGAGUGUAUCGGAAGUAGCCGAUAGGUGUUUCAUUCAAAUAUACUCACCAUCGUUGCUAACCUGGAGCCUUGUGUAUACUCAUGGUGAUGUAGGCAAUGGCGAGGGGGGGGGGCAACGGUCCCCUCUGACUUGUAAUUUUCCAUUGAAAAUUUUGAAUUUUAUCGAAUUUUAGCAUUGUUGGUCCUGUAACCAUAGAAAAAAAAUAAGUUCUUGGCUUCGCCCUAGACGCAGGAUACACCAUCAUAUGUUAUGGAGGAGCGAUGAUCUUAUUAAUCGUAGAACGAACCAAGGGUAAUGGCAAGAGAGGUUGAAGCACUUCCUCCGCUUGCCACCAUCAAUGUGCAUGCAGUCAGGUCUUUUAUUAUUUGUGGAAGAUCAAUUUUUACAUGGACAAAUUAGACCCUAUUCUUAGUAACUAAUUGUGCUAGUGUGUUACGCACUAGAGGUUAGGAUUGUCAUUUCCAAAGAAAAAGUUGCUGGCCUGCAUGUGCACGAGUACACGGCGUACCUUAGGAAUUCUAUCGGGUGCUUGUGGGGUUGUUUCACGUGCGUGGUAUAUACUAGUAUAUACUCCCUCUAUCCCAAAUUAUGAUUUGUUUUUGUUUUGACUGUUUUAGAUACAUAAUUUUUAUUAUGUAUCAUUUUUAUUAUGUAUCUAGACAUAAUAUAUAUUUAGGUGUAGAUCAAAAGCUAUGUACUUACAAAAGCCAAAACGAAUACUAAUUUGGGAUGGAAGGAGCAGCUCGCAAGACAUAUCAACUGUUCUAUGGAUACGUAAGGAGAGCACGUACCAUAAUUAAGCUCGGCAUCAAUCUGGUUGGUGGUAUUUGGCAGGAAUUCUCCAGGCGACCAACCCAAUUCCUAUCCACGGUUCCAGCGAUAAGGCGAUGACAGUGCUGGUAGUGGAUGACUCGACUCAAUUUUGGUCGGCCGCUACGAUGGCAGCAACGGCGAUGCGCCGUGGUAAGGCCAGUCCAAAUCAAGCACCACGGCGAACUACAAGCACACGUAUGGAUCCACGCGAUAAAAUGAAAAUGAAGUGAGAUUUUAAGUUUUAAUACCGAAGGCAAACCUAGUACUACCUCCCCUCUCCUUUAUUUGACGCCGGCUAGCUCAAAUUUGAGCUAAUGAACGUAAAAUAAACAAGAACGGAGGGAGUAGCAUUAAUUAAAGAUCAACAGUCAACUUUCAUGUAAUCAAUCUUGUUAACUAAUAAUAUGUAAUUCUUUUGACAGCCUAAGUGGUAGGAAGCUCAAAUAUAAAAGAUGGGCUUUUCUAAACAAAAAUAAAUAUAGAAGGUGGUAGUAGCUCCCACAGUUCCACUCCUAUGCCAUUCGUGCUCCAAAGGGUGGUGCAGUACCGCGGUCAGGACCAGAUUGGCGGCGAGGCGGCAAUCGGUAGCUGCAAUCUCUCUUUAAUUAGGGUUCGUUUGGUAGGGUUGUGGCUGUGGCUGAAACGGCUCCAGCUGUGGCUUUUUUGGCGUAGUAGCUUUUUUUAGCUCCAGCUUGUUUGGUUGGAAAAAUGUUUGGCAAAACGGCUUCUCUUGGUAGUUUAAAAUGGAUAAGAAUAUAAAAUGUUCAUGAUGCUCCUCUCUUUUUUCUUUCAUUUUUUCUCAUCUCUUCUUAUUCUUUUUUUCCUUCCUUUUAUUCUCAUCUUAUCCAUUCAUCUCUGCCAGAUGGCCAUCCAUCUCUAUCCUUUCUGCUCCCCGCCGACUGUCCUGCCUCCUGUUGGCUACCUCACCCCUGCCGCCGUCGAGCUCUCCCCCGCCCGCGACUCAUCCAUGCCGCUGUCGAGCUCCCCCCGCCCCCAAUGCGCCCACGCCGCUGUUGAGCCCCGCAGCCCAUUCACCUACGACUCGACGACCUAGUUGGAAAGUCCUGCUAAAGGGGACCUUAAUCUAUUCAAAGUUGCGUUGCAGCCUCGCAGCUAGCUGGCGCGUAAAUCGAUAAUUAGCUUGGACGAAUUGGUAGAGUGUAUGGGUUUGUAAAAGAGCGUAAUCUGAAUUUUGUGGUUAUUGGAUAGGGGGUACUUUAGGGUCGGUUGCCGUUUUUCACUCUACAUGUACGCACACAUAUCUUAUGCUAAUUAGUCUAUCUACACUACUAGAACUAGUUGCCUGUAUCUACUCAAAGACACCACGGUAACAGUUGUAUCGAGAUGGGAUUGUGUGCAUGCCUCCGCGUGGACAUACAACCCAUCACCAUGUACCCGCCACAACGGCACGACGAGGAGAUGACGAGCGGCCUAGCGGCGGCCGUGGAGGGGCUGGUUGAAGAAGCUAAAGCUCUUCUCAAGGUUAAUGGAAUCUGGUUAUUAGCUCAGCGAUCCGUUAUUGUCGCAGCUUUAUAGGCGGGCCGCGGGUGGAGUUCUGGGUGACGAAGCGACGCCAGCUCGCAGCCGCUCUAUCGUGUGCCAUUACAUUGCUCGUGUAGUCGUGUGGGGUUGGGGUCGGUAGGAGUUGGGCCUGCGGUUAACACAUUUGGAUGCCUUGCUGUGUAGUUGUCAAGCAUCCUUGAGAGUUCCCGCUGGCAUUUUUGUAACUGCUCAAACUAACGUAUAGCAAGCCCUUACUUUCGAUCUGCUAAGCUGUAUGAGGUGAGAUUUUACAAAAAUAAAAGAAAAUAGAAUGGAGAUGCGGGGUAUCGAUCCCCGUACCUCUCGCAUGCUAAGCGAGCGCUCUACCAUCUGAGCUACAUCCCCUUGUCCACUUGGUGAUCCGCAUUAAUUAAAUUUAUUGAUUAUUUCCAAUUGGCUAGUCUUACGCGGCGCCAUCGGUCGUCUUCGAUCCCGGGCUCCUUUUGUGCUUUAUCUUGGUCUCGAAGCACUUGCAUGACGACGACCUAAAUCAUUUGCUGCUUUGUGCUUUGCAUGUGGCGGCCGUCAAUCUAAGUGCAACUCGGCGGCAGUCCAACACGCUUGGCGUCGAUCGAUAUUAAGCGGAGAAACAAGCUAGCAGGAACGAAGCUUCCUCCUCUCGAUCGACCUGCUUUUGGCUCGUUGUUUACAGGAGAGAAUUUUGGAUGCAUUGUCACAGCGGCAUAGGGCGGAGCUUCAACUUCUCCAACGCCACCAGAGACACAGAGGGGAUCUGAGUCUAUCUCCGUCAGCUACUCCGCUUAUGGCUCUUGGGCGGUCGAAAAAGCAGAGGAGAAACGUUGGCCGAGGGCUGUGAUCUGAGCCAGGCGCUAUCUCAGCGCGGCUCGCCCUUCGCCCGCCCGGCAGAUCCAUCGCUUACCGGGACUGCUGCUGCUACGGGCGACCAGGGGAAAUGAAGGAAGACAAAACGUAAAGAAACGGAUGAUUAUUCCUCCUCCCGCCGAGAUCCGACGUGGUGACGCGGCGUCCGUACGUGCUGCCGCGGCGGUCAAACCGAUCGCGCCACGCGUCCCUGCCCACCCGGCUGCCCGUACGUAUCGGGUAGCGCCUCCCUCUCUCUAUACGCAUGACCGGGCAGCUGGAUUGCAGCUCGCGAGGCCGGCAGCCUAGUAGGUUUGGUUAUUCUAGUCUUAACUGAGUAGCCAGGUCGAGCAGGGCUGAUCCGGGGAAGGCAAAGCAAGCCAGAAGCGACGCUCAUCGGCCCGCCUGCAGCCGUACCGCGCCUGCAGGGGGAGGGGUUGCCGUGGUGCCCCCACCCUGUCCCCUGUGUCAUUCUGUUUUGACCAGAAAAUUAGAAGGAAGACCACUGCUGAUAUCAUUUUUAGUCAACCGCUUUGGACUCUAUGUGCUACUUCAUCACCUGCAUUCGUUUGGUUGUGGCUUUGCUCAAGCGUGCUUGCAUGAUCAUAUUGCACUAGAUCGACGGUGGCCUCUCUAAAUAAACAGUAAAAAUAGCUAGGGACGUUAUCAUCUCACUAAACUUAUAAGAUGAUUUUACGGUAGACCAGACCAAUAAUCUACCGUGGAAAAAGCUGUGGGCUCACGAAUCGUAGUCACACCAUGCAUCUCCCUGCCACAUGUCGGCACACCGGUAGGUAGCAGCUAGCAGUGCACUAGGGCUCCUCCAUUUCAAAACGACCGGGCGUCAUCUAGUGCAGGGCAUGAGGGCACACCAACGCACACUCUCUCUCCAUCUGUCAGAAGAUCUCCACCAGCUCGCCGUGAUGACGCCGUCUAUGUAAGGAUCAUGGGUGCUCAAGGCUUGUCCAUCACCGCUUGUUCGCUUCACCUACAUCGAGCUUCCUCCCCAUUUCUGCAUUUCUGCCUUCAUAAGCAUCUCCAUCCUUUCUCUGACUGAUCACUAGCAUUAUCUUGGAACAGGACACUGUCAACGUCCACGCAUUUCGUCAAUUGUUGGUACUACUCAUUCAUCUUCUUUGAAAAUUACUACUCAUGCAUCUGAGUCAUAAACUAUACAUCAACCAUAAUUUGUUUCUCUGAACAAGUGGGCUGGGCGGGUGAGACAGUCGUUGUUAAUUUCAGAAUCCGGGGAUCUGAUGAUGAGCCGGAGCCCCGAUUUCGAUUAGCUAAACUUGCAUCAAUGUAUAGAUCACAAGUCCUUGUUAAUUUGAUACGUAGAUGUUCAGUAGAAGAGCAAGUGGGUGGUGAGAUCAAUGGUUGUUUUUUCUUGAAAAUGCUGUGAUCACCAGUCGUUUUUAAUUUGACGCUCACAUGCCUGCAUGGAAUCGAGAAGCAGGGGCUUUCAAGCUUGAGAGAUCGAGCAGGGGGUUCCAUUCGUGGACCAACCGAACGCAUGGAGGAGCACCAGUCAGCGGCUCACGCCACGCCCGAGGCCGAGCAGCAGCCGCAGGUGGAGCUGGCGACAGCCGUCGCUCCAGCGGCGGAAGAGGACGGUGAUGGGCCGGCCGAGGGUGGGGACGGCUCGCCGGCGGCGGCGGAGACCGCAUUGCUUGGCCGGCCGCGGCGGACGGGGCUUCACCUUCUCGUCAUGAACAUCCGGAGCGUGUUCAAGCUCGACGAGCUCGGUGCCGAGGUGCUGGGCAUCGCCGUGCCGGCGUCGCUGGCGCUCACGGCCGACCCGCUCGCCUCCCUGAUCGACACGGCCUUCAUCGGCCGGCUGGGGUCCGUGGAGAUCGCGGCCGUGGGCGUCGCCAUCGCCGUGUUCAACCAGGUGAUGAAGGUGUGCACCUACCCGCUCGUCAGCGUCACCACGUCCUUCGUCGCCGAGCAGGACGCCAUCCUCAGCAAAGGCGCCGCCGCCAAAGUCGUCGACGGAGAAGAAGAAGGGGAAAAUCCAGGUCAGCACGCUGCUGUUGCCGCCACGGACCCGGAGAAGCAACAGUCACCUGAAGAAGCCGCCAAGAACGGCGACUCCAACGCUGAGCCCAGCGAGGCGCCGCCGGCCGAGCUCGCCGGCGCCGAAGAAUGCGCCCCGGCCGUCAUUGGCCGGAAGGGCUGCAAGAACAGGAAGUUCGUGUCGUCCGUGACGUCAGCGCUGAUCGUGGGCGCGUUCCUGGGCCUGUUCCAGACCGUCCUCGUCGCUGCCGGGAAGCCGCCGCUGCGCCUGAUAGGCGUCAAGCCUGUCAGUCACUGCGGCCGCAAACGGCGGCGACGUCCCCAGAUUUGUCGCUGCAACCCAUGCGAAAUUCUUACGCAUCAAGUGCUGACCAAUUUUCAGGGUUCGUCGAUGAUGAUCCCCGCGCUGCGCUACCUGACGCUGCGCGCACUUGGCGCCCCGGCGGUGCUCCUGUCCCUCGCCAUGCAAGGCGUCUUCCGAGGCUUCAAGGACACCAAGACGCCUUUAUACGCCACCGGUAAGACUAAAACCACCAUUUCUUGAGCUUGCAUUGAGCACCAAACCAAUGUGGUUCGUUCCAUUUCUUACCGUCCAAGACGAUUGUUAACUAAUACGGUUCCCUGCUAAUCUCCAUGCUUUGAAUCUCCAGUGGCUGGUGACCUGGCAAACAUCAUGCUGGAUCCGAUCUUGAUAUUUGGCUGCCGCAUUAUGGGCGUGAUCGGCGCAGCCAUUGCCCAUGUUUGUUAGAUUAAUCUCCUCCCCAAUGGGCCCAAAGGCCCAUCGGGACCCUGAUCCGCGCCCUGAUCGGGGGCGCUCACCCUAGCAUUGGGUGGUGGGCCCCUGUCGCGCUGCGCUAUAUAAACAGGGUGGGGGCCUCGGCUCGGCUCACGAGGUUCGCCGUAGCCAGCCGCCCCACCGACACACCUACCGAUCUAGGUUUUGCGCAGUAGCGGCGGGAAGUACCACCGCCACCUCACCGGGGAUCGGACUCGGCACUGCGCGUCGCUGCCUUGCACAGACUUCCCCAAGCGAACCCGUGAUGGCCAGCAGCUCUGCUACUUCCACCCCUAGGGGUGAAGGUAUUCCUAUCUCUCUCUCUCUCUCCCUCGGCACACACCAGAAACACCAAGUCCCUCGUGUCGUUUAUGAUCCCGACUAGAUAUGCAUCUAGAGAUCCUAGGCACGAGUCUAAUAAUGGUAUCAGACACCUCACUAGAAGCUCUUCUAGAUCGGGAAAAAGAAGUAGAUCCAAAAAGAAACAGAAAAAGUAAAACCCUAACCCUAGAUCUAAAUAAAAGAGGGACGAGGAGCGGCUUACCUGCCGCCGACCUCACCGCCGCACGUCCACCGACGGCGAGCGGCAAAGGCCGGCCGAGCCUCGGGCUCGCCGGGGAAAAGCUCCACCGGAGCAUCCGCUCGGGGCUCGGGGGGGGGGGGGGGGGGGCACAACCGCACCACCAAAGGACCGCUCGACGGCGGCGCGCCCAACCUCACGGUGGACGCGCACGCCGGCGAGGGGACCCGCGGUGGCGCCGGCCCUCCUCCAUGGUCGCCAUGGCCCUCUGGAUCUCGUUUUUUUAGGAGGCUCGGAGGGAGAAAGGGGGGAGGCAAGAAAGAGAAAGGGGAGGGGGCUGCCGCGGCCGUGCGCCGGCGGGGCCAUCCCUCCACCACCGCCGCCGCCGGCCAUCGCCGGGCGCGGGAGAGACAGCCCCGCCGCCGCCGCCACGGCGGGAGCUCGCAGGGGGAAAAGAAAGGAAAGUAGCUAGGGUUGUGGGGGAGCCGGCCGUUCCGCCGGUUUUUGAUCCGCCGAAAAUGACGCUCGACCGUCGGAUUUGGACGGGCGGUCGAGAUCGUCCGGGCCAGAUUUGGCCCAGGCGGGAGGAGGCGCUGGGCCGUUUCCGUGGCCCAGGCCCAGGUUGCGGCCUGCGAACCGCAGUCAGGCGUCACGAGCGAGCAGAACAAGCUUCGGGCCUGCAAUUUGGCAGGCCGCCUUAGCGGGCCGGCGACGUCGCGCGAGCAGGCCGAGGACGGAAACAGACUGUGGGCUGUUUUCGCGAUUGGGCCGAAAAUAGAGUUUUGCACAGUAACGUUUGAAAAUUAGUUUUUUCUAUUUUCAGAAGCAUUUAAUUGAUGUUUUUUUGCAUUGUUUUGAUCUCUAAUCUAAUUUGAACCAACGGGGUAAUUUGUAUUAGAGAUUAAUAAAGUUUACACAGUGGUUUUGCUUCUGAAAAUAGAGUUAUUUCACAGUUUCCGCUGCAAAAGUUAAAUUUAUUGCUCUAUUUAAAUUUAAUUUGAACCAACGAGACAAUUAAAUUUGUGAGAGCAUGAUAAAGUUAAUUAGAUUAUGGUACUGUUAUUUUCUGACCAAUGUUGUUAAUAACUGUAUCAUGAUUUAAAAAGUUUUUUGAUGCUUUUAUUUCUAUUUCUGCCCAACGGUGAUAUAGUUUUAAAUUGCAUAAACAAUUGUAUGUUUUAUUUUUUGACCAACGUUGGAAAUAAAUCAUGCAAUUAUCGUUAUGAUCUCACCUUGGAUUGCAAAUUUCAGGAUCAUUCAACUUAAUGGCUUGCCUCAAAGAGAUACCCAUUCUGAAAGGCAGCAACCAUACAGAGUGGAGGAAGAAGAUUGAAUUCUCCUUCGUUUGUGGAGAAGUUGACUGGGUGCUGACUACACCGCGGCCACAAGCUCCAGAGAAGCCAGUGAGGGCUGAAGGUGAUGAUGAUGCUACAUGGCAGCAAAAGGAAAGGGACUAUGCUCCACUAGAGUUGGUAUAUACCCUUGAAAAUAAACAGUGGACCACUGCCAACAAGAAAUGUAUGGCUUUGGUAAAGAAUACGAUUGAGCCUGCAAUUUUGGGCUCGAUCACAGAGUGCGACUCCGUCGCAGAGUACCUCGAGAAGAUAAGGAAUCAGUUCACUGGUUCCUCAAAGAUAUAUGCUACCCAGCUAUUCAAGCAGCUGGCCACAGAGAGGUACAAUGGAGGAGGGACUGGCAUAAGAGAUCACAUCUUGAGGAUGUAUAACUUGGCAGCACAGUUGAAGCCAAUGGAUCUUGAGCUCAAGUCUGGGCACAUUAUUCACUUGGUUUUCGCUUCCCUGCCAAAAGAGUUUGACACUUUUGUUGUCAAUUAUAACAUGCAGCCAGAACAGUGGGACAUGGAAAAAAUGAUAGCCAUGUGCGUGCAGGAAGAGGAUAGAAUUAGAUCCUCAUAUGGGGGUUCAUUGCACUAUGUGAAGGAUAACAGGAAAAAGAAUGCUAACUCCUCUUUCAAGACACGAGGAAAGGCUCCCAUGCAGCAGACUGACUAAAAGCCUCUCACAGUAGACAAAGAUCAAUGUGUACACUGCAAGAAAGAAUGUCCCGACUGGUUAAAGUUGAUAAUGGCAAAAAGAGGUGAGAACACUAUCUCCUUUGUAAAUGAAUCCUUGUAUACACAGUAUUCCAAAUCUACUUGGUGGAUUGACUCAGGUGCAACUGUUCAUGUUGCAAAUUCUUUACAGGGAUUCCGUUCGACGAGGACUACGCAAAGAAGCGAAAGAUGCGUUGAAGUCGCAAAUGGAGUCCAAGCAGAUGUUGAAGCUGUUGGCGAUGUCUCUCUAGAGCUAGUUGAUGGUUUCAUGCUUGUACUUAGAGAUGUACUUUAUGUUCCUUCGUUACACAGAAACUUGAUUAGCAUUUCACGUAUGGACCAUGAUGGAUAUGAAUGUCAUUUUGGAAAUGGAAAGUGUGCCAUUUGGUUUGAUAAUGCAUGUGUUGGUGUUGCCAUCCUUCACAAUGAGUUAUAUUUAUUAUCACUGCGUGAAAAAGUAAAUUCUGUGUGUGAUGUGAAUAUGAAUGUAUCCUCGUCAGAGAAAGAAACAAAGAAAAGAAAGAGAACUCAUGAAAUAUCGUUGAAAUUAUGGCACUGUCGUUUAGGCCAUAUUUCGAGGGGGAGAAUAGAAAGACUAGUUAAGAAUGAAAUUCUUCCUCAAUUAGAGUUCUCAGACUUAGAACAAUGCGUUGAUUGCAUUGAAGGAAAGUUUGUAAAGCAAAUUAAAAAAGGCGCUAAACGUAGCACAGGAGUUUUAGAGAUAAUCCACACUGAUAUUUGUGUACCAUUUCCUGUGAAAAGCGUGGAUGGCUAUGACUCGUUCAUAACAUUCACAGACGAUUACUCCCGUUAUGGCUAUAUUUAUCCAAUUAAAGAAAGAGCAGAAGCGCUGGAUAAAUUUAAGAUUUUUAAAGCUGAAGUUGAAAAUCAGCAUAACAAAAGAAUGAAAAUAGUAAGAUCCGACCGUGGGGGGUACUAUGGUCGACAUACCCCAUUUGGCCAAGUUCCUGGACCUUUUGCAAGAUUUUUGCAGGAAAAUGGCAUAGUAGCCCAGUAUUCUAUGCCGGGCGAGCCUCAGCAAAAUGGAGUAGCUGAAAGGUGUAACCGUACACUGAUGGAUAUGGUGCGCAGCAUGAUGAGUUAUUCCACCUUACCAUUGGGACUGUGGAUGGAGGCGUUGAAAACCGCCAUUCACAUUCUAAAUAGAGUGCCAAGUAAAUCGGUGCCCAAAACACCGUAUGAACUAUGGACGAGAAGAAUACCCUCACUAAACCAUCUGCGUGUGUGGGGGAGCCCAGCUGAGGCCAAAGUAUUUAACCCAAACAUUGGAAAGCUAGAUCCCAAAACAGUAAGCUGCCACUUCAUUGGCUAUCCGGAAAGAUCAAAAGGUUUUCGUUUCUACUGUCCAGACAGAUAUACAAAGUUUGUAGAAACGAGACACGCGAUUUUCUUAGAGGAUGAGAUGGUGAGGGGGAGCAUGGUGGCUCGAGAGAUUGAUCUUGAGGAGAAGCGGGUGUGUGCACCUAAUCCGAUGAUUCAGGAACCAUUCUUCUCACUACCUGUAAUUCUCGCACCAAUAGUUCCUGAGGUCGAGGUGCAAGCACCUGCUACAGUACCUGAUAUUGUGGUGCAGGCACCUGCUGUGAUUCCACCCGUGGAAAUGAUGAGUGAAGUUUUGGAACCUGUCCUUCAGGAGCCAAUUAAACUCAUCAUUACACACGAGGAAGAGUUGCAGCAGCCACCUCUGGAUGAUGUGCCACAAGCAGAGGCACAGAAUGUGCCCGAAAGUGAGGGGCCUAGAAGGUCUCAAAGAGUUAGAAGAUCAGCCAUUCCUGAUUACUAUAAAGUUUAUAAUACAGAAGAAGUUCAUAUAGAAGGUGAUCCCACUUCAUAUGAGGAAGCCAUGAAAAGUGUUCACUCAUCAAAGUGGCUAGAGGCCAUGGAAGAUGAGAUGAAAUCAAUGAGUUCCAACAAUGUUUGGGAACUUGAAGAGAUUCCUAAAGGAGCCAAAACAGUAGGCUGUAAAUGGGUCUACAAGACUAAACGUGACUCCAAAGGGAAUAUAGAAAGGUAUAAGGCGAGACUUGUGGCAAAAGGCUUUACACAAAGAGAAGGAAUAGAUUACAAUGAGACUUUUUCUCCUGUCUCAUGUAAAGACUCCUUCAGAAUCAUAAUGACACUGGUUGCACAUUUUGACUUAGAGUUACAUCAGAUGGAUGUAAAGACGGCAUUUCUAAAUGGGGAUUUAGAAGAAAAUGUCUACAUGAAACAACCCAAGGGUUUUAUCAUGGAAAGCAAAGAGAAUAUGGGAUGUCGUCUAAAGAAAUCCAUUUACGGAUUAAAGCAAGCCUCUAGACAGUGGUAUCUAAAGUUUAAUGAUAUAAUCAAGAAAUUUGGGUUUCAAGAGAAUAUAGAGGACAAUUGUGUCUAUGCAAAGUUCAAAAAUGGGAAAUACAUUUUCCUAAUUCUGUAUGUGGAUGAUAUCUUACUUGCAAGCAGUGAUAUCAGUCUACUGCAAGAGACAAAGAAGUUUUUGUCCUCAAACUUCGAUAUGAAGGAUCUUGGUGAAGCAUCAUAUGUUUUGGGCAUAGAAAUUCACCGAGAUAGACUGAAUGGGGUUCUUGGAUUAUCACAAAGGGCAUAUUUAGAAAAGGUUCUAAAGAAGUAUAAUAUGCAUGCGAGUAAGGCCACACCUGCUCCCAUAGUCAAGGGCGACAGUUUUGGGAAUUUUCAAUGUCCCAGGAACCAGUACGAGAUCGAUCAAAUGAAAGCGGUUCCAUAUGCUUCAGCUGUCAGAAGCUUACAGUAUGCUCAAGUGUGCACUCGCCCUGACUUAGCUUUUGUCACCGGGGUUCUUGGUAGAUAUCAAAGUAAUCCAGGUGUAGAACACUGGAAGAUGGUAAAGAAAGUAUUGCGCUACGCGCAAGGCACAAAAGAACUCAUGCUUACAUAUAAGAGAUCUGAUUCCCUAGAGAUAAAAGGGUAUUCAGAUGCAGAUUUUGCGGGAGACAAAGAUGAUAGAAAAUCCACGUCUGGAUACGUAUUCACUCUCGCAGGAGGAGCUAUCUCGUGGAGAAGCUCAAAACAGAAAGUAACUGCAUCAUCAACGAUGCAUGCGGAAUUCAUAGCAUGUCAUGAUGCCACGGGGCAGGCGAUGUGGCUAAAGAAAUUUAUACCCGGAUUGAGAUUGGUUGACUGUAUUCACAGACCACUAAAGAUGUACUGCGACAAUGAGCCAGCAGUAUUCUAUGCUCACAACAACAAAUCAAGCAAUGCUUCCAAAACCAUUGAGAUAAAGUUUUAUGUUAUGAAAGACAGAAUCCAAGAUCGCACUAUAAGUCUCGAGCAUAUAAGAACAAAAGAUAUGCUUGUGGAUCCGCUCACGAAAGGCUUACCACCCAAUGUUUUCAGAGAACACUUAGCCGGCAUGGGUUUAAGGGAAAGCCUAUGAUUCCUGGAUUGUAAAAGGCCCAAAAGAAACAGAAUUGUUUCAAAAUAGAGAGGUGUGUUGUAGCUGUUGAUUCUAUCGGCAAUUAAGUUGUGACGAUGAGGCAUGCUCUACAUAUUAAUCUACGAUGAAACGAAUAAAAGCGAAAAGUGUAAAGUUAAAAGUAAAUGAUGAGAUCAAGGGGGAGAAUGUUAGAUUGAUCUCCUCCCCAAUGGGCCCAAAGGCCCAUCGGGACCCUGAUCCGCGCCCUGAUCGGGGGCGCUCACCCUAGCAUUAGGUGGUGGGCCCCUGUCGCGCUGCGCUAUAUAAACAGGGUGGGGGCCCCGGCUCGGCUCACGAGGUUCGCCGUAGCCAGCCGCCCCACCGACACACCUACCGAUCUAGGUUUUGCGCAGUAGCGGCGGGAAGUACCACCGCCACCUCACCGGGGACCGGACUCGGCACUGCGCGUCGCUGCCUUGCGCAGACUUCCCCAAGCGAACCCGCGAUGGCCAGCAGCUCUGCUGCUUCCACCCCUAGGGGUGAAGGUAUUCCUAUCUCUCUCUCUCCCUCAGCACACACCAGAAACACCAAGUCCCUCAUGUCGUUUAUGAUCCCGACUAGAUAUGCAUCUAGAGAUCCUAGGCACGAGUCUAACAAUGUUCUCUCUCAGGAAGUCCAUCGAUCUCAGCAUGCGUCGUGUCGUGCCGACAUGAGUUGUGGCGGCACAUCCGACCGGCAGAGGCUGACAAGGGAGGAACUGUAUGCAGGUACCUGAUAACGCUGAUAAUGCUGAGCAAGCUCGUGAGGAAGGUCGAUGUCGUGCCGCCCAGCCUGAGAUGCCUCAAAUUCCGCCGUUUCCUUGGAUGCGGUGAGCAUUUGCAUUUGAAUUCAUCAUCUACGAGACGAGAUCGAUUGACAUCAAAGCAUAUGGAGUAUGUUGUGAGGUGGUCUGGUGGUUUUUGACUGUGGAGAUUAACCUCUAGCUCUAAUCAUCGGCUAUUGCAGGAUUCCUUUUGCUGGCCAGGGUGGUGGCCGUGACGUUCUGCGUGACGCUGGCGGCGUCUCUGGCCGCUCGCCACGGGCCGACCGCCAUGGCCGCGUUCCAGAUCUGCUCCCAGGUCUGGCUGGCCACGUCCCUCCUCGCCGACGGGCUCGCCGUCGCUGGCCAGGUUAGCAAGCUCUUCUGUUCUGCACUUGUGCUGAUGACCACAACCAAAGCAAACACUAACUGGCCGAGUAUGUUCCAUCGCCAUGGCUGACUUGUUGACCUCUGCUUGUGUGGCAAUGCAGGCCAUGAUCGCGAGCGCCUUCGCCAAGAAGGACCACUACAAGGUGUCCGCCACCACCGCCCGUGUCCUGCAGCUCGGCGUCGUCCUGGGCGCCGUGCUCACGGCCGUCCUCGGGCUCGGGAUGCAGUUCGGCGCCGGCGUCUUCACCAAGGACGCCGCCGUCACCAAGACCAUCCGGAAAGCCGUUCCGGUAAGAAUCACCCAACAUUACACGGUAACCUCGGAUCGAUUAGGCCAAACUAAUCAGCACUACGCUUAAUUAUCUCGGAUGGAUCCAUGCAUGGCAGUUCGUGGCCGGGACGCAGACGCUGAACACGCUGGCCUUCGUGUUGGACGGCAUCAACUUCGGGGAGUCGGACUACGCCUUCUCCGCCUACUCCAUGGUCGGCGUGGCGGCCGUGAGCGUCCCGUCCCUGAUCCUCCUCGUCGCACGCCGGCUUCGUCGGGAUCUGGAUCGCUCUCACCAUCUACACGAGCGUCAGGGCCCUUGCCAGCACCUGCAGGUAAGCCCGGUAGCCCACUCCACCAUGCACCGAGCCACCGAUGCACGAUCCGAUUCACAUGCGCUCCAGGAAUCGAAUUGGGGGAUUCAUGGUCAUCUUGUUUCAACAAAAUAAGUAGAUUAAUGGUACGCGUCUAAUUCCUCGCGCAUGCAGGAUGGGAGCAGCCUGGGGGCCAUGGAAGUUUCUUCAGCAGUGAGCAGUCUUCGGCCCACUACUAUUGCACGUAGCCAUACUAGAAUACAGUAUACGCGCCUAUGCAUACCUGUGGGUAUACGUGAUGUACAUGUACACCUAGACUUGUACACUUGCACUUACAUAUAGUAUGCUCGAGGAUAUAAUUUUCCAUGGAUGUAUAUACCCCGGCCGUACGUGUUGACACGGGUGCUGUGUUUAUGACAUGUGAAUAUCCAUCCGUACUUGCACGUUCAAGCAAAAGGAAAACCAAGACAUGUAGAAGGUUAUAUAUAGGUGCAUUCGGCAAAUAGAAAAAGGUUGUCGAUCAUUUAGAUGCAAAAAUCAGAUUAUAUACUACCCUCUAGUCAAAUGAAUCAUAUUUUAUAAACUAAUCGGCAAAAUUCCGAGGGGAGGGGCACAUGCCCUGCAAGCAAACAAUUAAACUAGGUUAAUCAUCAACUAAAAUUUGAGAAAAUCUGGCUAGAUUUAGUGUUUAGAGGUUCAAACUAAUGUUACAGACUUACAGUCUUAAGUAUGUGAUGAUAUUUCAUUUUCUUUUUCUAGUAUUUGCAAUGUAACUCGAACUAGAUCUGAAGAUAUGAGUGCUUUGCAUAAGGAUGAAUUCAAAUAUGGGAGUGUUUGUACUUUUAGAAGUGCUAAAUGUGGAUUAGCUUAGAUAGUGGGCAUGAUUGUUUCUUUUACCGUCACUAAUAUUAAUUCUAUGUUUUUGGAUGAUAUCACUUCUAUUGUUCUUUCAUUGCCCUAUUCUUUCAAAGGUUUGCAAUCCAUGUGGAGUAGAUGUGUACAAAACACCGAACGACCAUUUGUCACUACACAGUUCGUUAAUUAAUCCAAGAGUCACACACAAGAAUUACAAUCGGUGCCGGUGCGUGCUUACAUGCAGCCGAAACCAAGAUUAAUCGAACCAAAAAAAUGAAUGAAACACAAGACCAAUUCAAAAAAAAUAAAUAAUAAAUUAAUAAGCACGAGACUCUGACAACCCAGCAGCUACGCCGAUGGAGCUCUCCGGUUGACGCGAUCCCACGGUCGCACGCGUAGUGAGGCCAUGAGUGUGGAUCAUCGUGACCGCGCCGAUUAGACGCCCUUGCCACCCUUCCUCUCGGUGUCGUGUGAGUUCAUGCUGAAGCUGUUGAGCGUGCGGCCGCCGGCGGCGUUGAAGCUGAAGCUGUUGGUCUUCUUGCCGGUGGCGGCUGCCCCGGUGGCGUUGACGGGCGCCGCGUGCUGGCUCAGCAGCAGGAGCCCCAUCAGGGCCACGCACAGCAGAGUCAUGCGCAGCUCACCGGACUUGGACGCCAUCGCGGGACUGGCACGGAUAUGACGGGAUUAUUGGCAGGGAUGGAAGUCUGAUGUUUAUUCGGAUGGAUCGCGGCUUGGUUAUGGUGGAGAU